UUUUUUUUUUUUUGUCAAAGGUACCCCUGCUUUCCUCAGUGCAAACUCCUCAUUGUAAGAUUUUCUGAAUAAAAUUUUAAAAAAAAAAAGAUUUGAACACUCUUUCUCACCUCAUACACAUUCCUUUAAUUUCAUAGUUAUUUCGAAGUAGACGUUUAUUUUAAAUUUGUAAAGCAGUUUUAAGAAUCAAACAUGUUAAUUUAACGAUAUUUCUCUUUUCAAUGUUAGAAGUAUUCAGAUCUUUACUGAUUAAAAAAAUAUGAGUAGUACUUAAUGCAUGUGACAAAAUCCAAAACUAUUUGAUUAGUGAUGGAAUUCCCAUGUGACAAACCAAGCCAAAUAAGUGCUCAAAGCCUCAAACCACAAAUUAUAAGUUAUAAUUUGUUCCAAAAAGUUUAAGGAAUAUUAGUUGUUCUCACCACUAGUGUUAGGAUAUACCCAUAAUCUCGAGCUGAAAACACUUACGCAGGGCAUACCCACAAUAUUCUUAAUGAAGAACAUGGAAAAUAACAAUGUAAUCAAAAUUAUAAUUGCUCCAGUUACUCCUUAAUCUAGGUUGCACUUGUAGUUGCUCCCUCUUCCAGACUCAUUCCCUUAAAACCUAUCAAACUGGUUUAUGAACACUCCUAGGAUCCACACCAAAAAGAUUAGACUUAGGCUUCUGCGUCUUCGUGUUGUACACAUACGAGUUUUCUUCCUUAAAACAAUAGAAACUGAACUCAUCACCAUCAACACUCGCUGGAAUGAUCAAACCUUGACCUUCAGGAAGAGGCAGAAAUUUCUCCAUAAAUUUAUGUUCAUGUUGUACUAUAAAAAUUGUAUGCAUUUCGUACCUUUAAAUUUUGGUAAAAUUGAGACCGCGAUUAUGAUCGGGCAUAAAGAAAAUUUGAGAGGAAGAGAGUAACUCGUUUAAAAAUGAGACAAGGAGAUACGAACAGAUGGAGAAAGAGCGGCAAGUCUAAGAGUGAGCGAGGAUUAGAACAAUGAAAGAAUAAAUAAGAGUCAAAAAGAGGAGUUCUAAGGGCAAUUUUGUAAUUUCAUUCAACACGCAAAUUACAUUUUUGGUCAUAUGGUUUGACUCAUUUUCCACUUCAGUUUGUGUUAUUUCAAUUUUAGUAAAUUUACUCUAGUUUCAAUUUCAAUAAUGUUUUUUUUUAUUUUUUAUAAAACGAUAUAUUUACACUAAAGGGUAAGAAAAUAAAUUUGUAUCAAACUUGAUAUUUACCAAAUUAAGAUAUUUUACUAUUGUAAUAAUAAGUGACUAGUAGUAAUCAAGUUUAAAUCAUAUGCUCUGUUGCAAAUGGUGGAUUGCUCUGUUAGUUAAAGCAUUCCUCUUUAACCCAUUGCGGCGGCCCCCGGGACAAAAUUAUAUAUUAUAUGCAACAACUGGAUAACUAAAAGGUUCAAAUUCAAUUAACAUAACAACAUUCUUAAAGAAGAACAUCAUCUAGAAAUUAACAUAACAACAUUCUUAACGAAGAGCAUAGAAAAAUAACACUGUAAUUGAAAUGCUCCCAGUUACUCCUCAAUCUUAGCUGCACUUGUAGUUGCUUCCUCUUCCAGCCUCAUUCCCUUAAAGCCCAUCAAGCUUGGCCUAUGAGCAGUCCAACGAUCCACACCAGAGUAUAAAUACUUAGCCUUCUGCAUCUUCGUGUUGUACACAAAAGACUGUUCUCCCUGAAAACAAUAGAAACUGAAGUCAUCACCUUCAACAUUCACCGGAAUGAUCACAUCUCGACCUUCCUGAAGAGGUGGAAGUAUUUUCUCCAUAAACUUCAACGGAACAACGAUCUUUUUCGGGCUCCAUUUGUUCUCCUUGGAGUCUUCACACACCAAGGCAUGAAGGGUGGCAUUUACUAUCUCAACCACAGCCAUAUGCUUGUUCCAAUUGAUGACGCAAACUUUGUUUAAAUCGGGAAAAACUCCCUGAGGUAGGGUUGCUGUUAAGACAGACUCAUCCACCAGAUCAAGGCGUUGGACUUCUAAUAUUGACAGAUCUUGGCCAUCUCUUUUCAUAAACUCAGCAGAAUAACAAACCCUACCAUUCAUCUUUUCAGCUGCAAAAAAAUUACAUCUCACUACCCUUCUGCCUUGUUCCUUGAGCAAACCCUGAUUUGGGUGCGUCCAGGGUCUCCACUUUUCAUCUUUCCCAAUGGUCAUAAUUUGAAACCCUAAUUCAUUGUUCUCGACAUAUAAAGUUACCACUUUGAUCUCACCAGUCGAUAAAUUGAAAGCAGAUGACAUUCUUCUCGCACCCUUAUGAGCUUCAGGCAAGUUGAGUACUCGGCGGGUUGCCGGAUUUCUGAUGCGGCAAAGGUGAGUAGUAAUAUGCUUCUCCAGAAACAUCCCAGCAACACGUCCCAUGCCCUCGUAAUUUGAAUCAAAGUAAGGGGCUACAUGGUUCUUUUCGCUUUUUAGUCGAAACUGUAGAUGGAUAGGACUGACCCGUUUCAUGUGCUUUAAAAUGAAGUUGUAUUCUUCAAUCAAAGAGCACCAUGUUUUGCUGACACACUUGAACCGGAGUAAUGCCUCUACAGGCAACCAGCUCAGAAUCUCAAUAAUGAUUUCAAAGGGAAGCUUUGGUUCUUCUGGUUUGGGGUCCAAUCUCCUCCUCCUCCUCCUACUUCUCAGGUGGUAGCCGUGCGCCAUCUGCAUAUGAGUGUACCACAAUGCUCAUUGUAAAUCGUUAAAAUUGAUAAAUCUUAAAUAUGUACUAAUAGACUCCGAGUAUUUAACUAUUUAUAAAUUGAUCCUAUCUUCCCUCUUUUCUUUUUCUAUCCCUUUGUCAACCCAAUCUUUCUCCUAUAAUCCUCCCUCUAAAGUUUACCUUUUCCAAUCCAAUCAUUUUUUAGUAAUGUGAGAUUUUUAGUUGUUAGUUCGACUGUUUUUGGGUGCUAGGCUUGCUACUUUUGUUUGUAUGAGGUCUUAUACAUGGUGUACACUUGGGCUGUGUUUGGUUGGUGAGGAAAACGACUUGGGAAAGAUAAAUUCUUUUCACAUGUUUUUUAUUUUUUUGAACAAACGAUAUAAUAAAUGUUAGAAUAUAGGGAAAGCAAACUCUUGAGCCUCUAUGUUAAUUUUUUUUUCCAACAUUAAUUAACAUUAAUUAUAAAUAUUAUGACAAAAUUGUCCUCAUUUAAUGUUGAAAGACCAAUUAUACCUACAAUAUCUUCAUAUUCCACUUUCUUUCCUUCAACUUUAUCCCUAUUGAUGUAUAAUAUUUUUUUAUCCCUAUUAAUAUAUAAAAGGCUUUUUAGCUAAAAUAUUCUCUGAGAUUGGUAUAACUUCGCACUUCGGUUUUUGAGAUUUAAAAUUGAUAUAAUUGAGCAUUGAGUUAGUCCACCGUCAAUCAUUUUCGUCAUUCCAAGAAAAAUCUCUGUUAAAUAAUGACCAAAAUUACAAAAAUGCUCUCAUUUUUUUGUCAAAUCAUUUGUCCCAUUAUUUAUUAAAUUGAGAGUAUUUUUAUCAUUCUGGUCACAUAGUUUUUUUACGGAAUAACCAAAAUGAUUGAUAGUGGACAAAUUCAGUGAUCAUUUCUAUUGAUUUUAAAUCUCAGAAACUAAAAUGAAAAGUUAUGUCAAACUAUUUUGACUAAACUACCUAAAUAAAAUAUCAAUAUCUUCUAGCAGAUUUCCCAUUGUUACCCAACAGUGUAAUCGGGAAAGUGCAUUGCUCAUCUUCCUAAGAGGAACACAUAUAAUUAUCUUAUAGUUUAUUAAAUAAAAAAUUUCUUUUGAUACGAAAAAUAAAUAAUCAAUAAAAAAACAAUCCACUGCCCUCACAUCAAAUCGUCAACAAAGUGAAAUUUAAAAUAUUCCUGUUUUUUUUAAGAUUUAUUUCAAGCAGAUAUGGCCAUCAUCAUGCUAAUCUAAUAAUCUAUGCAUUAAAAAAUCAAUGUAGCUAAAAGAAAGUUAAACAAAACAGAAUGUAGCUUAGAUUAAGGAUUUUUUUUAUUCUUUUGAGUUUUCAUACUAGAAAUUUUCCAUAUUAACAAUCAUCAAUAAACCAAAUCUAAAUGAAUAACUCAUUUGACUAUAUAAAAUGAUUUUCGUACCUCUGACUUUUGGCUAAAAUUGAGAUUGAGAUUCUGAUCCGGUGAAAAGAAAAUUCGAGAGUGAGAGAUUUCUGAUCCAGUGAAAAGAAAAUUCAAGAGUGAGAGAGUAACUCGUCUGAAAAUGAGACAAAGAGAUGCACCCCGAAGGAGAGAGAAAAUUCCAACCAGCGGCGGGUCUACGAGUGAGAGAGGAUUAGACCAACGAAAGAAUAAAUAGUAGUCGGAACGAGGACUUCUAGGGAUUUUAAGGGUAAUUCAGUAAUUUCAUUCGACACGCGCAUAUAGUUAAAUUACAUUUUUGAUCCAUAUGGUCUGACUCAUUUUCCACUUUGGUUUGUGUCAUUACAAUUUAUAGAAUUAAUUUUUUUUUUAAAUGCAAUAGUAUAUAUACACUAAAAGGUAAAAGAAUAAAUUAUUAUCAAACUUAUCAUCUACAAAAUUCAAACUUUUCAUUUACAAGUGAAGAGAUAUAUAAUAUCAUUGUAGUACUAAUUAAGCGGCCAAUUGUUAUCAAGUUUAAAUCGUAUAUUCUUUUAAAUUAUAAUGUGAAUUUGUGAAGUCAAACUAACCAUGUCUAUUGUCUAACCAAAGUGUGUCAUGUUGGUAUGAGCUCAAUGUGCCUAGAUUACCCUUGACAUCGUAAGCAGACUGCUAUCUCAACCCUAAUGGACGAAGCAGACAUCAUGUCCCUCGAACAGAGACAUGCGUCUACCCCUCGCAACUCUCUCCGUAUUGCACCUAAGCAUGCAUGAGAAUGCUCCACUGAGUCUCUACCAUGUCAAAGUACUCUCCCGCCUGAUUCCAUGUUCGCCAAGAUUAUCUCUUGCAUGUCUGAGUCCAGGAACGAGUCAAUGACCUCUAGAUAACUCUACCUAGGCCGGUCAUCUGCAAAGGGAUACACCCUCCGCCCAGUAGGAAGACUGCUCCGCCGGUCAACUUGCCUAGUCUUUUUGUUUUUUUCAAUAAACAAUGUUAUUUACACUAAAAGGGUGGAGGAGUGGGGGUUAAGCCUCACAAUGGGCUAUUAUUGAUAUGGUUCAAAUUUACUUUUAGUGAGAAUUGAACCUAGAUAAGACCUCUCACUCAUAAUAAGUUAAAGAUGAAUAUCACUAAACUUUAGUACUAAGUGACAUCAACUUGCCUAGCCUUGCAAUCUGAUGAUUUAUGGACUUCUUCCUCUAUAAAUAGUCGAGUUGCACAAAGAAAGUGAUAUAACGAAAAGUUGAACUCAGAACUAUCUACUACAUUCAAUUUCCCUUAAAUACUUUCUGAGUUAACCAUCCGAGACCCUUUGGCAAAUUGAUCUUACAAUGUUAUUUGUUAUGAAAAAAAUUUUGGUCAAUCCGUCAUGGCAAUAUGCAACCACCAAAUGUGAGGACAUUUUGUAUCUCCAAAACAGUUGCAAUCAUCCCAAGAUUGUAAGCACUCCGUCUAUAUAUUUUGCUUAUUAGAUUUGUACGAUCUUAUUAUUGAUUAAUUGAACAAAAGUAAAGGACUAGAUGGAGAUAAAAGUUUAAAUGGGUCAAAGUAUAAAGCUCGAUAAGGUUUCUUUAUACAGAAGGAAACAUUAUAUUGACAUCAAUAGGAGUGAUCCAAUUCCUUAUAAUUCGUUACAUUUUUAUUUAUUUAUAAAAUUUAAUGUGGGACAAUUCUUUGCAUCCUUGUAAGACUACAUGUAAGUGGUGAUCUAAAUGGUGAUCUAUUAUAGAUUGAACUAUGGAAAUAGUUGCAAUUGCAUCAAGAACAAAUCGACUGAGACAUACAGAAUGCUACAACAAUGUGGAUUAAAUUAUUAUUCGACGAUGAAGGGUGAAUACAAAUUAUUGUCUAAGGGCUUGAAGAAUAAGCCAAAAGGAAUACAAAAAAAGAAUCUUUAUUGAAGUUUUGAACAUCAAAAAACACUUGAUGAAUCAAAACUUCCCUAAUAAAACCAACAAUUCAGACUGCAACCAUAGUAGUUAUUGGUUUCUCUCCUCUUCAUAUCAUAUAUCUUAGAAUCCACUUUCGCUUUGAGACGUUGCAUGAAAGCCUUAUAAUUCAGUAGUUCCUCUAGUCCCCAGUUUUUAUCUGGCGCAGGCAACAACCGCUUGAUCUCUUCCACUUUCUCUCUCUCUUUCGUGCGUUCCAAGUCUUCGUCGCCAUCAUCAUCGCAAUCGUCAUCACUAUCAUCGUCGUCGUCAUCGUCGUCAUCAUCAUCAUGACGUUUAGAUGAAGUUCCUUCACCAAGAAAGCGAUCCAAGACCUUGUUCACAGAGGGGUUUCCAUAGGCGUAGGGCUCGUUGUCCUGUGAUAAGACGACAACAGCCAUCUCGGAACCAGGCUGCCGGAAGCAAAUUCUUCGGCUUCACGAAACAAAGCGUCGUGACGCUCCGAGAAGGUGGACUUUAGGCAGUUCUUGCUGUUUAUCUUCUCCAUGUCGAUCUUCCUGCUUCCGAUGAAUGGAUUGUAGAUGUAUACACGAAACGUUUCUUCUUGAUCUGUAGAAUUUGCUCAAAAGAAUUUUGUGACUUGUGAGUACUCACAAAGGAAGAACUAGGGUCUCUAUAUAUACACGACAGCUUGCCUGUAAUUCAUGAAGAACUAGAGUUUCCUUUUCUUUGGAGUGUCAUAAGUCAGCAAAAUAUGGAAUUGCCAAUUUUUUUUUAUUAAACUGAUUUAUACAAUAAUAUUAUGCUUACCAUUUUUCUUCUUAUUAAUAGAAACAAAUAAUGCUAGGGAGACCAUAUAUUGGUGACACAUCACAUAAUUUGUCAAUUUAAUCUAAAAAAAUGAUGGGUCUUUUGAUAUGGGUCCAAUUUUAUAAGCCUAUUUUGAAUGGAAUCCACUAAUAUUACAUAAGCAUAAGUGGGAGCUAAUAAGUACAACCAUCAUCCAUGUCAGCAAUUAAAAUGCACAUAAUUUACAAACAAAAUUACAACAAUUGCCAUUAAAUGGUUUAUCAGGUCUCUUGCAGAUGAAUUACAACCCAAAUUAAUCUCAUUGUUUAUUCAAAACCUUAUCCUCCUAUCUUUCAAAUUGCUUUGUGUAUCCAACGGAAUCCAAAUUUUGAAUUCUAAAUCCGUAUGAAGAUAUGAAAGCUAUAAAUUUUCUCCCAUUAUAUGAUGAAAACAAAAAAUAAGCGAAUAUUUGAUUCGGGUUUCCUAGUAUACCUGGAGAACAGGUAUAGCAACUUCUUGAAAGAUUUCAGUUUCAUACAUGAUCAUCUGGUUUUCUUUUUCUAAUUUUUUGGUUUGGUGAUUUGGGCUUUGUUUUUUCAGUGUUCGUUACCUGGAUAAUAGGUAUUGCACUCACUCGAUUUCAAUACUAGUAUUUGAUAAUAGGUGCUACCGUAUCUUUGCUCUAAUAUUUUUUUUUCACUUGAAUUGUUCGAGAUUUUAGAGUUUGACGACGGGUAUGAAUUGGUGGCCAGUGUUUACGAUGCGUUAGUGAAGGCUUGUACUAGUUUGAAAUCGAUUAGGGGGCUUAAGAGGGUUUAUAAUUACAUUAUUAGUAAUGGGUUUAAGUUGGAUCAGUAUACGAAAAACAGGGUGCUGCUUAUGCAUGUGAAAUGUGGGAUGAUGAUUGGUUCAAUUUGUUUCUCUAGUUUUUUGGUAUGCUGCUUUGGCUUUUUACCUUUGUCGUAUUUGAUACCUAGAUUACAGGUACUACAGUUCAUCUUUAAUAAUUGGUGUUUUAGUAUUUGGAACUUUAAUAAUUGGUAGUUUAAAUUGAUAUAUAUUUAGGGUUUCAAUGUGGAAAGGAGAGCAUUAUGCAGUGAUCCGUGAUGAUAUCCUCGCACUCUUGAAUGAGGGAGGUGUGAGUCGACAGGUAUUUGUAAUUUUUAUAAUUAUUUGACUUAGAUAGAAACGAAUACAAUUAUAUUUGGAUGAAGGGUUUCCAAAUGAUUCAUAAGAUGUUUUGGUUCUUUCUGUAGGUAGUUGAUUCUUUUUUUGAAAUUUUGAAUGAAGACCAAAUUGGGAUUCCAAAAGAUCAUCUGAAAUCUGGGUUUAUGCCGACAUGUGUGGGUGCGUAAAUUUUAGUUCUUCAAACAUUGCAGUUCAUUUUCCUCCAUUCUAGCUAGUUUAAUACCGUCCAUAACUAAGGAAUUAGAACAACCAAUGCUAUUUAGUGAUGAGUAGUGUAAUUGUCAAAUGUUGAUUUUUAUUAUUUUAUUCUAAUCCAUUUUUAUUAGUAUCUAUGGUAAAUAUAAACUACCUGCCCUUGUAACAUAGUAAUCCAUUUUUAUUCUAAUCUACUAGCAUUAAUCUAGAGAAUCUUCUACCAGCCCUUGUAGAAUAUGAUUUUUACAUCAUAAUUAGUUGUACAUGUAUAUUACUUUUUGGCUACUGUGCGUUUAAUCCGUGUUGGUUUGUAGGAUAUUGUGGAUGAAUCGAAUUCUGCAGUGAAAAUAUAUAUUUAUCUUGAACUUCUAUUGAAAAAUGUGCGGGAGAACGACUAUGUUUUCUUUCCGAUUAACCAUUUCAAAGGAAUGCAUUAUACUUUGCUUGUGUUCAACAAACAAAGUGGAUGGUGGGAACAUUACAACACAUUACAAACCAAGUUGAAUAUGUAUGUGGAUCCUUAUUUCGAAGAGGCUAAAAAAUUGGUAAGUUGAUAACUAUGUAGUAUACCUCUUAUCCUUCAAGUUUUAUUUCACACACUACCUUUGUAAUGUGUUGCUUUUUUUUUUUUUGGUAGCAUGUGAAAAUUUCUGACUACUUUAAGUACAUGAAAGAUAGUAUUUCAAGAAAGCUCAAUGAGAACUCUAUUUGCAAACAUAUUAUGAAAGGUGAUAAGGUAUAGACGUUGUUGUACACGCUUAGCCAUGAUGACAGAGAAUUUCUCAUGUGGCUGAGGCAAACUAAUGUUGAGUAUCCACUGAAAGCAAACAUAUCAUGCUCACAACAAUUUCCUAACAUGUAAGUGUUAAUUUCAUCUGUAUUAUGCCUAUUUGUUGGUUUCUUGGUGAUAGAAUGUAAUAUUUAAAUUCAUACUCUUGUUUUUUUGUUAAACAGUUAUGACUGUGGAGUUGCUGUGAUGUAUAUUGCACAAAAAAAAGCUGAUGGAGAAUUAGUCGAAGGUGUCUUUUCGGUAGAGGCGAUGAAGAAUAUGAGAGCACAUGUCCUUUGCAGAUUCAUAAUCAUAAAUGAGGGAGAUGGUAGCUGGGAAAAGGAAGAGUAGGAUAAAGAUGUUAUGCGAAAUUUGAGUUUUUGUUUCAUUUAAAUGUUUCAAUUUAAUAAAAUGAUGGGACUUCAAUCCAUCUGAAUUCAUUUUCCGCUAGAUAAGUUUGGUUGUUAUGUGAACUAAGAUAUGCUUUGUCAUAUCUGUUUUUUAAUUUGAAUUUCAAUUGAAAGGGGAUAUUCUUCAUGUUUUCCUUUAUUGGUUGCACAAUAAGAUUUGUUUGUAAUCUCAGAUAAUGUUAUUUUGUCAUUAUCUAGACAUAGUUUGUCUGGUGUACUUUCAAAUUGUAUAAGGAUAAGUAGUUUAAAAUAGCUUAAUUUCUAAGCUUAAUUUUGUUAUGAGUUUUGAGUUUAUUUUAAGUUUGAGGCUAUUUUAAGUUUUGAAGAUCUCUAACCAUUCCUUUGUACAUCUAAUCCAUAUUCUACACAGAUAUGUUGGUUAAAAUUUUACGACAUACUUGUUGAUAAAAAAAGGUUGUCGGUAAUUUUCCUACAUGUUAGGUAGUUUAAAACCGUCCCAAAAAGUAAUAUACAUGUACAACUAAUUGUGAAUGUCUACAUAGAUAUGUUGGUUAAAAUUUUACCACAUUCUUGUUGAUAAAAAAUAGUUGUUGGUAAUUUUCCUACAUGUUAGGUAGUUUAAAACCGUCCCAAAAAGUAAUAUACAUGUACAACUAAUUGUGAAUGUAAAAAUCAUAUUCUACAAGGAUAGGUAGUUUAUAUUGUAAGCCAAAUUGAUAGGUAGGAUAAAAUUUAACAACUUAUGGUUGCUUGUUAUAUAUAGGUUUGAUUUGGAAGGUUUAGUAAUGAUAUCAUAAUAAAUAUAGUCUUCACAGAUUGCAUAAGCUGUCACAUCCCAGUCUCGGCUCCGCCGUAGCACGAUAUUGUCCCAUUUGGGCCCCAACCAUGCCCUCACGGUUUUGUUUCUCUCGUCUGAACUCACUUAACUUUGGAGUUCCGAUGGAUCCCGAAGCCAGUGAGUCUCCAAAAAGCCUCGUGCUAUUUGGAGGUGGGCAUGUACAUAUAAGGCACAUCACUCCCUCUCCAUUGGUCGAUGUGGGAUGUUACAAUCCACCCCUCUUAGGGGCCCGACAUCCUUGUCGGCACACUCGCACCACACGGCAUAGUGACUCUAAUACUAUUAUGUCACAUCUCAGUCUCAGCUCCGCCGUAGCACAAUAUUGUCCGCUUUGGGCCCCAGCCAUGCCCUCACGGUUUUGUUUCUGGGAACUCACACGAGAACUUCCCAGUGAGUCACCCAUCCUGGGAUUGCUCUCGUCCAAACUUGCUUAACUUCGGAGUUCCGAUGGAACUCGAAGCCAGUGAGUCCCUAAAAGGCAUCGUGCUAUUUGGAGGUGGGCAUGUACAUAAGGCACAUCACCCCUCUCCGUUGGUCGAUGUGGGAUGUUACAUAAGCCAUAUGACAUGUAAGUAGAUAAUCGAAAAAAGAAGAAUAUAAGUAAACUAAAAAGUUGAAGGCAUCAUUUUAUUACAUUGAUAAAAAAUAAAAAAAAGCAUGUGUUCAUAUAUUUGAAAAAAAAAUUCAAAUGGCAACGAAGAUGUAUGUCAAAUAGGGACGCUGCAAGUUUUCUGGUUGUGGCGUAUAGCAUCACCACUCCUACUGCACUUGUUGGGGUGUGUUUCUUCCCCAAUAGAUUUUAGUCUUUUAACUUUUGGUCUACCUGGGGGCUUCUUUGUCAAUGGUGUAUGAACUCCUUGACACCACCUGGAAAUUCUUGACCAACAUGGCUAAUGUAGUUUCUCCACGCAUGGGACAAAUAUGUCUUCCCAUGAGGAGUGGCAAACUUCCCUAAAUUUGCACGAUCAUCUGAGGGUUUUAUGCCUUCAUAUGUAAAAAUAUGUUUAUCAUGUGGGGAAGAAAUGGGAUCAAGUUACUCAACUGGUUCAACCAUGGAAACACUGAUAGGAAUAGAUGUUAUGUUUUCAACAUAAUAUGAAAAUUUCAUUACACUCACAUCCAUGUCGGAUUGUAACAAACAAGAUUGGUGUUCUCCUAGAGAGUACGUCAACUCCAUGACUUUAGGACUUAAUCCCACAAAUCGGGAACAAAUUUGUUCAGCAAUGUCCUUGAACUUAGGGCUGGUUCGGUAUGGGAUCCCAAACCGAAAAUGGGAUCUCAAAUCCUAAAUCGAUUUUUUUUUGGGACAGAGUUUUGAAAACCAAAACUGAACUGAAAUGAAGGUAUUCCCGAAUUUCGGGAUUCCAGAAAUUUUUUCGGGAUUUCGGUUUGGUUCGGGAUUCAUCGACCUCCCACCUUUCCUGCCAACCCACACGGCCACACCUCAUCUUAGAUUCGUCGACCUUCCCACCCCCAUCUCCAUCCCUCUCAUUCCUGGGCUUGUCUUUGCUGCCUUUGGGAGUCGGAGGGCUUUGCGAAGUGCAUCGAACAGAAUCAGGUAUCGACCAUCGUCGAUGUGUGAGCUUUUCCAUGUCUUGCCAAACAAAAUCGCCAUCAGAAGGCUACUCUACUUUGCAGGCUUGAGUGAUGGAUCUAAUGUCUUGGAAGAACGAUUGGGUUCCUCAGACGAAUGCUGCAAUGGGUAUGGUGUUUUGGGAAAAGCAGGAUGCGGGUGUGGCUGCUUUUGAAGAUUGAGAAAGCAUUUGGAGGCCUUGAGCUUGCUUCUGCAUUUGAGGGAGUCGAUGGAGGGAGAGAGAGAGAGUGUGGCUGUCUGAGGGAUGAGAGUGCGAGUUAUCAAGAAAUAAAAUAAAGAAGAAAGGUUAGUAAAGAUGGCAGACAAUGAGCCAUGAGAUAAAGAAACAAUAAAAAAAGGAAAAGGCAGUGAAGAAAGGUUAUCGGGCAAAGGAAUGGUUGAUUAAAGUUAUCGGGCAGAGGAAUGGUUGAUUAAAUAAUAUAUAUAUAUAUAUAUAUAUAUAUAUCAGUUUGGGAUUCCCGAACAAAGAAAAAUAAGAGACAGAUUCCCGUACCGAACGGUUCGGGAUCGGUUUGGGAUUGGUACCAAAAUUUUCGGGAUUUUCGAUUCGGGAUUUUUUCGGUUUGGGAUCGGGAUUUUUUCGGUAUGGUUCGGGAUUUUUGGGAUUUUUUUCCAACCCUACUUAAACUUAGUAUGAUUAAAUACUGGAAUUAAAAGGGUCUUGCUCUCAAAAGUGCACUUCGCAAUGAUAUAACUAUGAAAUAUUUAUUCCCUGAGAAUUAAACAAUUAUAAAACACAGGAAAGAAACAUAAAUGUAAUAGGUUGAAAAAGAUAUAACUAUGAAAGUCAUAAAUAACCAUUCAAGGAUUAUGCAAUAUAUAUAACUAGUCAUCCUUCCAUAACUAAACAAUUAUAUAACUAUUUAAAUCUAUCUCGUCUGCCAAAUCCAGGAUUACAACCCCCGCAAACGUUAUACAUUCUUCCAAAGAUAUAAAUCCAGAAUUUAAAGAAACCAGCUGGCAGAUCUAAUCCCAUGAGAUCUGUUCAUGUUGAAAGGUUAACAUAUUGAAAUAUUUAUUCCCUGAGAAUCGAGAGGGCAAGUGAACAACUAGAGGUAGGACAAAAGUUGAAUUUGCAUUUAUAACAGGUUUACAAAUGAAAUGUCAAAUUCCAUCAUAUUCGUGUAUGCAUGAUUUGAUGAUGAAAUUAUUUUAGAACUGGGAUUAAAUUUAAGUUAGAAUUGUAAAUGGAAACAUUAGAGGCUAAGGAUUUGAGUGAACUAAAUGUAAAUUUAGUAAUGGCUAAAUCGCGAGAGUGGUCUCUGAGAUUUGCAUAACACAUCACUUUGGUCCUAGAGAUUUCAAAUCAAUAGAAGUGUACCCUGAGAUUGUCCACCAUUCAUCAUUUUGGUCAUUCGGUUAAAAACUCCGUUAAGUGUCCCGGAGCUAUUGGCCGGAAGUUUGGACAAUUUUCAAAGCUUCGUAACUCAAUCGUUUCUUAACCAAAUUCGACUCAUAAUAUAUCAAAAUGAAGAUAUGAAAGUGUAGAAAAAAGAUUAUACCAAUUUGGAAGCCCAAUGGUUGCCGGAGAUGGCCGGAAAAUAGCCUCAAAGUUGACUGGUCCGAGGGAAAACUGGAAAUCUCGCUGGAAACUGGGUAAACUUUAAACGUUCAUAACUUCUUCAAUACUCAACGAAAUCAAGUGAUUCAAAAAUGAAAAUCAUACUUCUCGAUAAGACGAAGAGAAUGGUAUCUCUCUAGAUGGCUAACUUGACUUGGUUUGGCCGAAAAAAGGCUCGAAAGUGGCUGUCUUGGUCUCGAGUUAGCCAUUUUCGAGCCGUUUUCCGGCCAAACCAUGGAGAUUUAGCCAUCAAAAAAUGUAUCAUUCUAUUCUUCUCGUCGAUAAGUAUGAUUUUUGUUUUUAAAUCACUUGAUUUUGUUGAGUAUUGAAUAAGUUAUGAACGUUUAAAGUUUACCCAGUUUCCGGCGAGUUUUCCAGUUUUCCUUCGGACCAGUCAACUUUGAGACUAUUUUACGGCCAUCUCCGGCAACCAUUGGGCUUCCAAAUUGGUAUAAUCUUAUUCUACACUUUCCUAUCUUCAUUUUGAUAUAUUAUGGGUCGAAUGUGGUUAAGAAACGAUUGAGUUAUGAAGCUUUGAAAAGUGCCCAAACUUUCGGCCAAGAGCUCCGGGACACUUAACGGAGUUUUUAACCGAAGGACCAAAAUGAUGGAUGGUGGAUAAUCUAAGGGACCACUUCUAUUAAUUUGAAAUCUCAAGGACCAAAGUGAUGUAUUAUGCAAAUCUCAACGACCAUUCUCGCAAUUUAGCCUUUAGUAAUUCUAAGAAUAAGAUUUCCGAUCCUCUGCAGUGUUCAACCAUGCAGCUGACUUUCGUUGAUAAGUUAAAUCUUUAAUGAUUCAGCAUACUGAUAGGUGCGACCAGUGUACAAUCCCUUUUGAAAAUUCUUAUUGUAGAAAGUAGAAAUAUGAAUAACCUGCGACUUUUCUAAAUAAAAAAAAUGUCUAUACGGUAUUGUCUGUACCUUGUUCCCUGGUUGUCCUGCUUCCGAAACAGCCUUUCCACCAAAGAAUGCCCAAAAUCAAGAAAAUGAGGAAUAAUGCUGAAACAACUCCAAUCACAAUGAAUUUCUUCCUUUUGCUAUCAUCAGGCGGCUCCAAAUCUAGAAUAAGUGACAAGGACAGUGACAAUAAGAGAACAAUAAAUCCAGGAUUACAACCCCGCAAACGUUAUACAUUCUUCCAAAGAUAAUUAUGAAAGUCAUGAUUAUAUGGUUACGGGAAAUUAAAGAGUACAAUUUUCAAAGAGGCAUAACAUUAAACACCUUAUGUGCAUUGGUUUUUAUGAAUAAAAAGAGAAAGAAGCAUAUCAAUGAGAGAUGAUAGAAAGGGAUUAGGGGGAUUAGGAUAAAGUCUUCAUGUAAAAAUUUGCACACCAAACAGCAAUAAAGGAGAAAACAAUUAUAAUAUACCUGACUUGAAAAUUAAAUGGCAUUCAAUUUGCUAUGUUUUAGUCCCUUGAUAGACGGAGAAGGUUGAGUAUCGCCAAACCACGAAGGAAAAACACAAUCAUAAAAUUGUACCUGGAGAAUAGGUCUCCUGAAGAAAUAUGCAUGUAUAAAACACAUCUAAUUUGUAUAGAAAGUUAAAAGUGAUUAAGCCUUCCUUAAAAAUAGAUUGAUAAGAAAUUCAAAUUCAAAAAUUGUUAUCAAGAAAUCGGGGAGAAAGAUGAAGUAAACUACUGAACAAUGAAUUUGAAUGAUGAUAAAAAUUUAAAACGUGGGAAAUAUAUGGAGAACGUGCAAAAGCUAUAGGAGGGUAAAAUAGUAAUAACAAUGCAAAAAAAUCAACCUAAUCAGAAAAAUUGCUGACAUGAAAUCCUAGUCAUUGGAGCUAAAUUAAAAGUAACUAAAAAUUGGACUAAUCCUAAUGUUGGGCUAUAAAAUUGGACCUAUUUCAAGUUCCCCCCCCCCCCCCCCUUUUUUUUUUCAAUUACAAUAACUUGCAUGAAAAUUCAAUUGGGUUUGUUUUGGUCUUCAAGAAUUUUGCUUUGUUUGGUUACUGAUUAAUUUAUGUGGUGUGAGUUUAGUUUUUCCUUUUCUGCCUAUGUAUGUAUUAUUCGAAAUGGACCGUUCAAUUUGCUAUAUGUAAAUUUGUAAUCGAAAAGCUCGAAAAAGAGGUGAAUCAGAAACAAUGGUGGUAGAGUGAUGGAGUUGAGGAGUUGGGAGUUUACGGGAUUUACUUGAAUUAUUGUAUGAUGUCCCUGGCAUGUUAGAUCAUUGAGACUAACUGUCUGGUUGAUUAAUCACUAAUUUGAAAUAUUUAAAGUGUAACUUUUCUUUAAUUCCUUUUCCAUUUGUAUUUUCAUUGGAGUGCAGAUAAAAGAUUUUUCUUUUAUCUUUUCAACCACAAACUUUCCGAAGUCUUCUGAGAGUGGUCCAACUAGAGAAUUGGAUGACAAGUUUAGGUUUAAUAUAUACUUGAGUUCCCACAAGGAAGAUGGUAUUUUAGAAGUUAACAAAUUGUACCCUAACGAUAGACUUCUUAGAGAUACUGCUACAGUACCCAAGCAGGAAGGAAUAGAACCAGAUAGACGAUUACCACCCAAAAGUAAAUCGGCUAGGUUGUUUAGUUGACAGAGCUCAUACGGGAUAUGUCCUCCCAGUUCGUUAUCAUUCAAAUACAAACCUUGGAGAUUUUGUAGCCUUUGUUUGUAUUGAAGUUGGACUUGCUCCGCUCAACUAAUUAUUUCCCAGGCUUAAAUAUAUCAAGUUGCUGAAGUUACCAAUAUCUAUGGGAAUGUUACCCUUGAUGUUGGAAAUGCUUAAAUCAAUAGUUAGGAGUGAUGUAGAGACUACAACACUUUGGGUAUUUUACGACUUGAAAUAUACGGCGUACAGACGGGCAUGCCUUAAAUGAUAUUAUUCAUGACAUUCAUAAAGUUCAUGUUGUAAUACUUGCGCAUAAUCUCGCAUUUACGACAUCACUUUUAUGCAAGUUGUUAAAUAAAAAUAUUUACGGCUUAAGCAUUGUGUCUCGUAUUUGACAAUUUAUACGACGCACUUUCCUUCUCUUUUAAAACUUCGUGUUAUGUUGUAAAGUGAAUUUUCUAUAUAUUUGAGUCCCUACAUUUUAUGGCACGAAUAACACUUGUAAAUAAUGGCGUUUACCUUCCCGCCCAAAUUUCCCACCCCGCGCGUUCUUUUAUUUUUCUUGAAUCAAGAUCUCACGGUUUCCCUAGCAGCCCUUUAUUUUUCUUUAAUAAAUGAGGAAUCGGUACCCGGCCUGGACCGUUGAUUUCAGAUCCAAAUCAUGAUAUUCAAUCUACACCUUUCAUUUACCACACAUAUCUCAGGUUCUGAAGGUUCUGUCUGUCUUUCUUUGCCUCUCUCACGCAGCCUCUCUCUCGACUUUCACUCUCUUAGAUUCGUAUCUCCCAAUCCCAGCGGCCUCGAUUUCUCUCUCGUCUCCAACCAUGGUGCCACCAUCAUCUCUUGUCAACUCUUGACUCUCUCCCACUCUCGACUCUUUUCCACCACCUGCACUUGACGGUCCUGACUUCUGACCACCAUCUGUGUUCUAAAUAAGGUGUGCAGUUAGGGAUUUAAGAUUGUAAUAAAUUGGGGUUUUCUAGAUUUAGGGAUUUGAAUUUGAAUUUAGGGAUUUGGAUUUGGUCAAUUCUGGAAUCAAAUGUUAAUUAUAAUUUGUUUAAUUUUUGGCAAUUUGAGUGCAAAAUUAGGGUUUAUUUAUUUAUUUUAUGUGUUGACAGUAAGACCCUUUGUCAAUUAGUAACCACACCUACUUCAAUUGUUGGGGCUUGUUUCUUCUCCAGUAUAUUUUAGUCUUUUAACUUUUGGUCUACUUGGGACCUCUUUGUAAAUGGUGUCUGAACUCCUUGACACCAGGAAAUUCUUGACCAACAUGGCUAAUGUAGUUUCUCCACGUAUGGGACAAAUAUGUCUUCCCAUGAGAAGUAACAAACUUCCCUAAAUUUGCACGAUCAUCUGAGGGUUUUAUGCCUUCAUAUGUAAAAAUAUGUUUAUCAUGUGGGGAAGAAAUGAGAUCAAGUUGCUUAACUGAUUCAACCAUGGAAACACUGACAAGAAUAGAUGCUAUGUUGUUAGCACAAUAUGAAAAUUUCAUUACACUCACAUCCAUGUCAGAUUGCAGCAAACAAGAUUGGUGUUCUGCUAGAAAGUACGUCAACUCCAUGACUUCAGAACUUAAUCCCACAAAUCGGGAACAAAUUUGUUCCCUUGAACUUAGUAUGAUUAAAUACUGGAAUUAAAAGGGUCUUGCUCUCAAAAGUGCACAUCGCAAUGAUAGCUCCUUCCAUAACUAAACAAUUAUAAAUAAAACAUAGGAAAAAAACAUAAAUGUAAUAGGUUGAAAAAGAUAUAACUAUGAAAGUCAUGAAUAACUAUUUAAGGAUUCUGCAAUAUAUAUAACUGGUUAUCCUUCCAUAACUAAACAAUUAUAUAACUAUUUAAAUCUAUCUCGUUGGACAAAUCCAGGAUUUUGCAUGAAAAUUCAAUUGGGUUUGUUCUGGUCUCCAAGAAUUUUGCUUUGUUUGGUUACUGGUUAAUUUAUGUGGUGUGAGUUUAGUUUUUCCUCUUCUGCCUAUGUAUGUAUUAUUCGAAAUGGACCGUUCAAUUUGCUAUAUAUAAAUUAGUAAUCGAAAAGCUCGAACAAGAGGUGACUCAGAAACAGUGGUGGUAGAGUGAUGGAGUUGAGGAGUUGGGAGUUUAUGGGAUUUACUUGAAUUUUUGUAUGAUGUCCCUGGUAUGUUAGAUCAUUAAGAUUAACUGUCUGGUUGAUUAAUCACUAAUUUGAAAUAUUUAAAAUGUAACUUUUCUUUAAUUCUUUUUCCUUUUGUAUUUUCAUUGGAGUGCAGAUAAAAAAAAAUUCUUUUAUCUUUUCAACCACAAACUUUCUGAUGUCUUCUGAGAGUGGUCCAACUAGAGAAUUGGAUGACAAGUUUAGGUUUAAUAUAUACUUGAGUUCCCACAAGGAAGAUGGUAUUUAGAAGUUAACAAAUUGUACCCUAUCGAUAGACUUCUUAGAGAUACUGCUACAGUACCCAAGCAAGAAGGAAUAGAACCAGAUAGACGAUUACCACCCAAAAGUAAAUCGGCUAGGUUUUUUAGUUGACAGAGUUCAUACGAGAUAUGUUCUCCCAGUCCGUUAUCAUUCAAAUACAAACCUUGGAGAUUUUGUAGCCUUUGUAUUGAAGUUGGAAUUGCUCUGCUCAACUGAUUAUUUCCUAGGCUUAAAUCUAUCAAGUUGCUGAAGUUACCAAUAUCAAUGGGAAUGUUACCCUUGGCUUUCACUCUCUCUCUGCCUCUCAACUGGUUAUUUCUCAGGUUCUGAAGGUUAUGUAUGUCUCUCUCUGCCUCUCUCACGCAGUCUCUCUCUCGACUUUCACUCUCUCAGAUUCGUAUCUCCCAAUCCCAGCGGCCUCGAUUUCUCUCUCGUCACCAACCACGGUACCACCAUCAUCUCCUGUCAACUCUUGACUCUCUUCCACCACAUGCACUUGACAGUCCUGACUCCUGACCACCAUCUACGUUCCAAAUAAGGUAUGCAGUUAGGGAUUUAAGAUUGAAAUAAAUUGGGGUUUUCUAGAUUUAGGGAUUUGGAUUUGGUCAAUUCUGGAAUCAAAUGUUAAUUAUAAUUUGUUUAAUUUUUGGCAAUUUGAGUGCAAAAUUAGGGUUUUUUUUUAAUUUUUUUUAUUUCAAGUGCUGACAGUAAGACCCUUUGUCAAUUAGUAACCAAUUAGUAACCACUCAGUGCUUGUUUUAGACCUGUCACCGAAUACAAAAUCACGGCUUUUAAUUUUCAUUUUGCAAGUCAUCAUAAGGAAUAGAUAAUUCUAGAAUUAUAGUGUAAACUCUUGAUUUUCAUUUUCAAACUUGAUUCUAUUUCAGAAUUCUGAAGAGUUUUCAUUAUGGUGUUGGGGAUUUGUUAAUUUUGCUCUCUCUCUCUCUCUCUCUCUCUCUCUCUCUCUCUCUCUCUCUCUCUGUGAUUUGGUUGGGAUUGCAGAGUGACUUGGGUUUCUUUGUAUGCAUGUCCCGGACCUCCAGGUCACAUGGGGUACUCAGCAAGGUUCUACUUUUGCAAAGAAGAUGGAGAUGUUACAGACUUACAAUGAUACUGCAAUCCAAAUAAUCUGUUUUGAAAAUCCAAAUAAUCUGUGAGUAUGUUGUAGUAGUAGAAUAACACUGUGGGGCUUAGCCUAGUACUUAAAUUAUUGACUUUGUUGCUUAGCCUAGUACUCUGUGAGUCUGUAUAGUAGUAGUGUAGUACUUUAUUUAGUUUGUACUAUUGGAUAAAAAUGAUAAUUUGAUUGAGUAUAUAUCAUAUUAUACAAUUCCAAUGUAGUCUAACAUGAUUCGAUUUGCACCAGAUAUGGAGUGUUUCAAAGAAAAGGGUACAUUUGAUCGGGAGAAAUACCAAUGAAGGAUUUGACAGGGUAAGUUCUUCCUCUGCUCAAGAACAAAAGCAAAUUACAGCAACCAUUUAUUUCUAUUAGACAUAUAUUGGAUAUUUCAAAUGUCUUAUAACCAGAAACACAUGGCUUCUGAUAACGUUAGUUAAACACUUCUUCUUUUGCCCAUUCUGUGUUGUGUGUUCACGCGUCUGUUUUUCUCUUGCACGUUGGUUUACGGCAAAUACAUGCUAACUAUUACCAUUCCCAAGCCGAUGCUGUAAGAUCCUUUACAUAUUUCAGAAUGAAUGAUAAGAUCUUUAGGGCUGAAAAUUGGACUAACUUCAUUCCUUUUGUUAAAAAGACGAGCACAAAUUGGUGAAGCAGCCAAAAAACCUAACUUAAAUAGUAAAUUUAUUGAUCUAGAGUAGCAGCCUCACUGCCCUAUAAUUUUUUGUCAAGGGCAUGUGUAGAAGUUUAGAAGUUUGUAACUUCCUGAUAUAUUGACUGAAAUAACAUUGUGCUCCCAUGCCCUAUAUCUUGACCUAGAAGUGUAAAUUUUUGAAACGGAUUUGAUUGGCCGUAAAAACUGAACGCUUUAUACCACUAAAAUAUAGGAAGAAUAACUGGAAUUGCAAUCUUGGUACUACUGGUCUCAUUGCCUUGUCAAAUACAGGUGCGGCAAUUCAAUUUUAGGAAUAUCGUCAUAUUUUCAUAUCCGUCACUAUAAGAAAAUAAUGUAGUUUUUGAAGAUUGAAAACAACAAUAAGAAAAUGGAUCCGAAAAUAUAGAGAACAAAGAACUAAGAAUUCACUCCUCCAGAGUCCUUCAAAUACUUGGUCUUGAUUUUAUUGAGUGUGACUGCGGCAUCUUUCAUGUUAAUCCUCUCUUCCGGCAAUGCUGCACAGCAAGCUAAAGCUAAUCUCAUAACGGAUGAUAAGCAAUCCCUCCUGCUGACGAAAUCACCAUCUUCCUCCGUCCCAAGUAUAUCGGCAUCCACAACUUCAUCUAUAGCAGAAUCAGGAAAUAAUGAAUUUUCAAUCCAUUGCUUUAAAUUCAUUUCCCCAACAAACAUCUCAUCUGUUGGCUUCCUUUUUGUAAAUGUCUCCAUGAGUACAAUACCAAAACUAUACACAUCCCCUUUCGUCGAAACAAUUCCCCUCAUCCCAUACUCUGCAAAAUUUGUAUGUGAAUUUAGUUAUAUAUGAUAAAAAUAAAUUAUAACUCAUAAUUAAGACAAACAUUUACAAAGUUGAAAAAUACAUCACCUGGCGCCAUAUAUCCAACUGUGGCUAGGGUUAUGGUUUCCGUCAUCGAAUCACCACCGCCGAUAAGUCUUGCAAUGCCAAAAUCAGCAACAUGUGCAAUCAUAUCAUCAUCUAGUAGUAUAUUGCUUGGUUUCACAUCACAAUGAACGAUAGGCAUCGAGUAACCAUGAUGAAGAUAUUCUAGUGCCAGUGCAACAUCUUUCAUUAUGUCCAACCUCUGCAGGAUAUUCAUGGAACGGUUUGGAGAAUACAACCACUUUUCGAGGCUUCCAUUAGGCAUCAAUUGAAGUAUCAGGGCUUUGAAAUCGAGUUCAUCGCAGCAGCUUAUGAUUUUAAUAAGAUUCCGAUGACGGAUAUUGCUUAGCAUUUCACAUUCCUUAUCAAAACUCUUGAAUGCCCCUUCUAGCUGUAAAUUGAAAACCUUGACGGCGAUAUCUAUCCCAUCUGAAAGUGUUCCUUGGUAUACUGAGCCAAAACCUCCCGUGCCUAGUAAGUUACUCUCAUGAAGUCCAUUUGUCGCUUUUACAAGUUCUUGGUGCGAAACUCUUCUCCAAGGAACUUGACGUAGCGAGGCAGUUUCUCGUACAACUUCGACAUUCCUUUUCCUGCGUAGUAUCAGAAUCAAUGCAGCGGCCACUAGGAGUAUUACUAAAAUGACCCCUGAGAUGAUAUAUUCAGCUUUCCUCCACUUUGGCUUAACUUUUGUUCCAUAUUUGCACAUUGGAACAUGGAGUCGGGAAGCACCGCAAAGCGCACCGUUUGAUGCAAAUGAAUCAGCAUAGAAGUUUUCGAAAGGCCCGCCUGUUGGAAUUUCUCCUUGGAGUUUGUUGAAUGACAAAUUCAGAUGCUUGAGAGACAAGAGUGCUUCCAAUGACUUUGGGAUCUCUCCAGAUAGAUUGUUUUUGGACAAAUCCAAGAAUUCUAGGCUUAGUAGGGUUUUAAAUGAACUGGGAAUAAGGCCUUCUAAAUUAUUGCUUGCCAAGGAGAAAUUAAUCAUAUGGAGAAGACCCCCAAUGCUACCGGGAAUGUUUCCGGAGAAAUGGUUAUUUGAUAAAUCCAUAUCCACCACCCCCUUCAACUUCCCGAUAUCUUCGGAGAGUUGUCCAACUAGAGAAUUGGACGACAAGUUUAGGUACAAUAUAAACUUUAGUUCCCACAAGCAGGAAGGAAUAGAACCAGAGAGCCGAUUACCACCCAAACGUAACUUGGCUAGGUUGUCUAGUUGACAGAGUUCAUACGGGAUAUGUGCUUGCAGUUCGUUAUCAUUCAAAUACAAACCUUGGAGAUUUUGUAGCCUCUGUAUUGAAGUUGGAAUUGCUCCACUCAACUGAUUGCUUUCCAACUUUAACGCUAUCAAGCUGCUCAAGUUGCCAAUAUCAACGGGAAUGUUACCCCUGAUGUUGGAAAAGCUUAAAUCAACAUAUAGGAGUGACAUAGAGAGAUUCGAAGCUGGAAUCGUGGUGUUCAAUGGAUUAUCUCCCAAGUGUAAUCUUAUCAAAUUUCUAAGAUUAAACAAGCAAGAGAGGGUGCUUGCUGCUUGUGGAGUUGAAACAUCAAUCGUCAAAUUAUUCGAGUACAAGAGAAGACACUCAAGGUUUUUCAAGGAACAAAGCGUGCUAGGAAGAAACCCGGUAAAUGAGUUUACACUCAUGUCUAGCUCCCAGAGCUUGGAAGCAUUGGAGAGGUUAGGGAGUAGCCCGACCACGAGGUUAUUUCUGGCUACACGAAGGAUUUCUAGGUUUGGAACGUUAAGACCUAUGUUUGCUGGGAGGCCACCUGAUAGCUGAUUAAAAGAAAGCGAUAUUUCUCUUAUCAUGGAGUUAUUGAAGAGUUUGGAUGGGAUGAUGCCAUUGAGAUUAUUAAAACCUAGCGACAAAGCCUCUAACUGUGGAAGAUCACCAAUCUCUUCCGGUAUUGUACCUGUCAUAAUUUCAGCACAUUUAUGUCCACUUUAGAACUUCAGUUUAACUAAAAACUAAAAACGAAAUGAUUAUCAAACAGUCCCAAAUUAGUUACCUGUUAAAUUAUUUUCUUCAAGAAGAAUCGUGGUUAAGUAGGUCAAAUUGCCAAGACUUUUGGGUAUGCUUCCGCGGAAAUUGUUUGACGCUAAUGAGAAUAUACGAAGCUCUUUGCAUUGCCACAGUUUGGAGGGAAUUAGACCGUCAAGCUUGUUUUGAGUCAAAUAGAAUUGUCGAAUACUUGAAAGAUGGUCACACAUAUUGUCCGGAAGACUACCACUCAUGUUGUUUCCUUGUAGAUUGAAAGCAGUCAAAGAAGAUAUGUUGAGGACAGGCACAAAAGCAGAGCCUUUUAGGGCAUUGUCCUGCACAAACAACUCCUCCAGCCGACCUAAACUGCCUAUCUCGUUCGGAAGUUCUAUAAAAUCAAUCCGUGUAUAUUGUUAAAAUCAUGUAUACAUAUACAGGAGCAGCUUCUUAGUGGGAAUCCUGUUGUACCGUAGCAAAAGUGGGAUACAUUCUAAGGACCAUGUACUCACUAUAUAGGACCUUUUUUUUACUCUAGAAUACGAGGGUCUUACACGGUAGAUAUACGAUCCUACAAUAGUCCUCUCAUCUCAUUUUUUGCUGAAGUUGAACAAGAUCCCAGCUAAGAAGAGGCUAUAUAUAUAUAUGUAUGUAUGUAUGUAUGAAUGUAUGUAUGUAUGUAACAAUAAGUCAUGUAGUAUACCUUCGAACUUGUUGUCGUCAAGGUAUAUGCCCUUCACCAUUGUUAAGUUGCCUAUUUCUCUGGGUAUGCUACCUGUUAAAUAUGUGCAUCCAUUCCAACAAAAAAGAAAGAAAAAAAAAGAGAUGAUUGUUAUACAUCUUAUAUAAUGAAAUCAUGAAGCAAACCACGAUGUUAAAAUGAAACAAAGACGUUAAAAUGUAAUCAUGAAGCAAUCAACAUUAAUUUAUAUUCCUAGGUGGUUGGUAAUGGUGGUACGUACGUACCUGAUAGUUGGUUCCUGCUCAGAUUAAUUAUUUCGAGUGCAGAUAAGUUGAAGAUAGCAGCGGGUAUGGAACCAGAGAAGUCAUUACCGUACAAUUUGAUGGUUUGAAGUUUAGGAAAGGACCCAAACCACGAAGGAAUGGUUCCCAUAAAGUUGUUGUUUCCAAAGUUAAUCGCCUUCAACCGGCGCAAACAAGACAGUUCUUGCGGUAGGGGACCAUGAAAGCUAUUAUUCAUAAGGCCUAACUCAACGAGAGAUGAGAGGUUGCCUAGAUGCGGAGCAAUAACCCCAGCAAGACCCAUGUGCGAGAGAUUUAAGGCCGUGACUCUGUGGUGGCGAGCACCGCAGGUAAUGCCAACCCAGUUGCAAAUGUCGGAAUUGGAGGCAGAGGACCAGUUGGCGGUCAAGAUGUUUUGAGGGUCACGAGUGAUGUGAGCUUUGAGAGCAAGAAGCGCGGACUGAUCUGUGCUAAAAUUGGUAUGAGCUAUUGCUAAUGCACCUGCAGUUAAGUAAUUAGCCAUAAUCAUCAUAUAGAUAUAACACAAGCGGUGUAUCAUCGACAACAUUUUUGAUAGUACGAAACGACUUCUCUCCUUAAUUGUAGUACUUUUCGUCUUUCAGUUUAAAUUUAUAAUCGGUGUUACCAAGACUAGUCAAACGAAGACUAGUCGAACGAAGACGUGUCAUGUGGAUUUUUUCACAUAUCAAGCACACACCAUUCAUUUUUUUAUUAUAGCUUUCAGGUGGCGUACGCCGUAGGUAACACCUACAAAUCGCAACUUGGAAGUGAGCAACCAGUGGUAAGGAUGUUUUGGUCUGUGGUGGUGAUAUUUGGUAAUUGGUGCUGCCAGCCGACGAGUUCUGUCCAUUUUGUGGGCACAGCUGGAGAUGCCCAAAUGUGGAAUUUUAGUCUUCAGUUCACCAUCAAAACAAACAACACCAUAAAUUUCAAGAUUGAUAUUUAAUGAUGACAUACAUUUUGAUGGUGGAAAAAACUCCAGCCGCCACAGGCAUGAAACAGACAUGCAUCAAAAGACUUUUAGGUGGAAAAAAUAUGCAUUGGCUGAAAUGGAGAUAAUUAGUAUUUAAAAUGUUAAAUUUUUUUCUUUUUGGCUCACUAAUUAGAUGCAAAAGUGAGAUUGUAUGAACAAUUUUACACCCAUAAACAUGAACUACACAAAAUCACAACUGAUCUAACAAUGAGAAAGUAUAUAAGACAAUACACUAUCAAUAGGCUAAAACACUCUUUUAAUUGAUCUAACAAUAGCCUAAUAGGAUUAACUAAACCAUUAGAGACUACAACAAUUAGAAAGUCCGAAGAUUGAAGUUCUAGUUGAAUAUCUUUGAACCCCUAGGUGUUGGACACAUUUUCAGUAAAUUUGUUCAGGAAAAUAUAGAAACUCAUGAUGCAAUUCCAUCGUCUGGGAUAGCACAUAUUUACCUGGAAUCCAACCUUAAGCUAACAUUUUUCAUAAGUUUAUUCUUUUUGUUAACUACAAUGGAAUUUAUAAAACAAUUUUAGAAAAACUCGAGUCUAGAUAAUGGAUUAUUGUUCUAGUUUAAAAAAUUUUGACUUGUGUUCUAAGCAACAUAAUGUAUUCACAUUUCAAUUGUCAAGGGCAUCGCAAUAAUCCUCGACUGAAGAUAUUAAAAAUCAGAACUUCUUCUCCAAGUUUUCAUUUAGUUUAUUUCACUUGUCCAUAAAAUUCAAAGAAGAUUAAAUAAAGACAAUAGCAUGCCAAAGAUUAAAAUCCCUCAUUUCAAACUCUGCUAAUGCACAUCUCUGCUUGGUUUUCUUCUCCAGAGACCAGACUAAGCGAGGAGUCAAGUUCUCCAGUGCACCAUCAAUCUCCCGUUCGAGCAACCAUCACCACCUCACUCGCCACUCCGGCGAGGCACCACCUUGCCACCACCCUCAUGUCUCACUCCCUCUCUACCACUCUCCCUAUUUCCCUCACCUCUUUCUCUCGAUACUAUGCUCGCUGGGCGAACUACGCCAUCACGAAACCAUCACCAUUAAUCUCGCCACCUAGGCAAGUUUUACCAUCCCCGAACCCACCCACUGCAAACUGCUUUCAUGCCUUCUAAUUUCAAUUCUUGCAUUUCUUGUAUGGUAUCCAUGUCUUGCGCAUUCAAGUACUUAUAUACCAACUGAGAAUAACAAUAUAAAUCCCACACCCACCUCUUUUCCCCACUUGAAAAAAUCACCUAAAACCCACAUUAACCACCAUAGUUUAAGAAUCCAAACAUGGCUCCAAAUUUCAAUCUAAUUAAUUAAAUUACGGAGGAUUCUACCUACCUCAUGAAAACAAAUAUGUUCAGUUAAAGAAAUUCCCUAAUCACUGCAGUGCAUCUUAAACUACUUCUUAACUAUGUUAGCCAUACCAAACUAAUAAAAAAUCCAUGUUUCAAUAGAUUCUUAUUAAUUCCAAGUCCAAGUAUUUCAGCAUCUAGAUUAUAGAAAAAUCAUAACAAAACAAAACUCAAUCUUGGUGCUAAAGCACACUUCGUUAACCUCACCUUCAUCAAGUCCAUGACUCCUGCCAUGAGAUCUUUCUCUUAAUCAAGUCAAUGAAUCCUGCCAUGAGAUCUACCUGUACAACUAAUUGUGAAUGUCUACAUAGAUAUUUUGGUUAAAAUUUUACCACAUUCUUGUCGAUAAAAAAUAGUUAUUGGUAAUUUUCCCACAUGUUAGGUAGUUUAAAACCGUCCCAAAAAGUAAUAUACAUGUACAACUAAUUGUGAAUGUAAAAAUCAUAUUCUACAAAGAUAGGUAGUUUAUAUUGUAAGCCAAAUUGAUAGGUAGGAUAACAAAUAUAUAGUCUUCACAAAUUGCAAAAGCCAUAUGACAUAUAAGUAGAUAAUGGAAAAAAGAAGAAUAUGAGUAAACUAAAAGGUCGAAGGCAUCAUUUUAUUACAUUGAUAAAAAAAAAGAAAAAAAAAGCAUGUGUUCAUAUAUUUGAAAAAAAAUAUUCAAAUGGCAACGGAGAUGUAUGUCAAAUAAGGGCGUUGCAAGUUUUCCGGUUGUGACGUGUAGCAUCACCACACCUACUGCUCUUGUUGGGGCGUGUUUCUUCCCCAAUAGAUUUUAGUCUUUUAACUUUUGGUCUACUUGGGGGCCUCUUUGUCAAUGGUGUCUGAACUCCUUGACACCACCUGGAAAUUCUUGACCAAUAUGGUUAAUGUAGUUUCUCCACGCAUGGGACAAAUAUGUCUUCCCAUGAGGAGUGGCAAAUUUCCCUAAAUUUGCACGAUCAUCUGAGGGUUUUAUGCCUUCAUAUGUAAAAAUAUGUUUAUCAUGUGGGGAAGAAAUAGGAUCAAGUUGCUCAACUGGUUCAACCAUGGAAACACUGACAGGAAUAGAUGCUAUGUUUUCAGCACAACAUGAAAUUUUCAUUACACUCACAUCCAUGUCAGAUUGCAGCAAACAAGAUUGGUGUUCUCCUAGAGAGUACGUUAACUCCAUGACUUCAGGACUUAAUCCCACAAAUCGGGAACAGAUUUGUUCAGCAAUGUCCUUGAACUUAGUAUGAUUAAAUACUGGAAUUAAAAGGGUCUUGCUCUCAAAAGUGCACAUCGCAAUGAUAGCUCCUUCCAUAACUAAACAAUUAUAAAACACAGGAAAAAAACAUAAAUGUAAUAGGUUGAAAAAAGAUAUAACUAUGAAAGUCAUGAAUAACUAUUUAAGGAUUCUGCAAUAUAUAUAUAUAUAACUAGUUAUCCUUCCAUAACUAAACAAUUAUAUAACUAUUUAAAUCUAUCUCGUCUGCCAAAUCCAGGAUUACAACCCGGCAAACGUUAUACAUUCUUCCAAGGAUAUAAAUCCAGAAUUUAAAGAAACCAGUUUGCAGAUCUAAUCCCAUGAGAUCUGUUCAUGUUGAAAGGUUAACAUAUUGAAAUAUUUAUUCCCUGAGAAUCGAGAGGACAAGUGAACAACUAGAGGUAGGACAAAAGUUGAAUUUGCAUUUAUAACAGGUUUACGACAAGGGCCGGCAUUAAACCCCUUUUGAGUUUUAGCAUAUUGAUGAACUGUCAAAUUCCAUCAUAUUCAUGCAUGCAUGAUUUGAUGAUGAAAUUAUUUUACAACUGGGAUUAAAUUUAAGUUAGAAUUCUAAAUGGAAACAUUAGAGGCUAAGGAUUUGAGUGAACUAAAUGUAAAUUAGUAAUUCUAAGAAUAAGAUUUCCGAUCCUCUGCAGUGUUCAACCAUGCAGCUGACUUUCGUUGAUAAGUUAAAUCUUUAAUGAUUCAGCAUACUGAUAGAUGCGACCAGUGUAAAAUCCCUUAUGAAAAUUCUUAUUGUAGCAAGUAGAAAUAUGAAUAACCUGCGACUUUUCUAAAUAUAAAAAAUAACCUAUAUGGUAUUGUCUGUACCUUGUUCCCUGGUUGUCCUGCUUUCGAAACAGCCUUUCCACCAAAGAAUGCCCAAAAUCAAGAAAAUGAGGAAUAAUGCUGAAACAACUCCAAUCGCAAUGAAUUUCUUUCUUUUGCUAUCAUCAGGCGGCUCCAAAUCUAGAAUAAGUGACAAGGACAGUGACAAUAAAUAAGAGAACAAUAAAUCCAGGAUUACAACCCCGCAAACGUUAUACAUUCUUCCAAAGAUAUAACUAUGAAAGUCAUGAAUAUAUGGAUUACGGGAAAUUAAAGAGUACAAUUUUCAAAGAGGCAUAACAUCAAACACCUUCUGUGCAUUGGUUUUUAUGAAUAAAAAGAGAAAGAAGCAUAUCAAUGAGAGAUGAUAGAAAGGGAUUAGGGGGAUUAGGAUAAAGUCUUCAUGUAAAAAUUCGCACAGCAAACAACAAUAAAGGAGAAAACAAUUAUAAUAUAUAUGACUUGAAAAUUAAAUGGCAUUCAAUUUGCUGUGUUUUAGUCCUUUGAUAGACGGAGAAGGUUGAGUAUCACCAAACCACGAAGGAAAAACACGAUCAUAAAAUUGUAACUGGAGAAUUGGUCUCCUGAAGAAAUCUGCACCUAUAAAACUCAUCUAAUUUGUAUAGAAAGUUAAAAGUGAUUAAGCCUUCCUUAAAAAUAGAUUGAUAACAAAUUCAAAUUCAAAAAUUGUUAUCAAGAAAUUGAGGAGAAAGAUGAAGGAAACUUCUGAACAAUGAAUUUGAAUGCCGAUAAAAAUUUAAAACGUGGGAAAUAUAUGGAGAACGUGCAAAAGCUAUAGGAGGAUAAAAUAGUAAUAACAAUGCAAAAAAAAUCAUCCUAAUCAGAAAAAUUGCUGACAUGGAAUCCUAGUCAUUGGAGCUAAAUCAAAAGUAACUAAAAAUUGGACUAAUCCUAAUGUUGGACUAUAAAAUUGGACCUAUUUCAAGUUUCCCUAGUUUUUAUCAUUUUUCAUUAAAUUUUAGACCCUUUACAUUAAAUAAAGUUAGUAGAUGAUUUUUUGUUAAAAUAAAUUUAGUCUAAACCCUUUUUUCACUAAAGCUCUCAUAAAUAAUACACUUGCAAACGUGGUCGGUUAAUUAUCAAGAGGUGAUAUUCGCAUUCACUUUUCUCUCCCACAUGCUUAACUUCACAACGAUGUUGCAAAAAUCUCUUUUUCAUAACGUCAAAUAUUCAGCGGCUGUCUUUGCGUUUCUGUUUGGUCAUGUAAAGGUACAAAUCUAUAUUAGAAAGGAGAAGGAAAAAAAAGAACUCCGUGGUACACAAAUGAAACCGCAUUAUUUUACAAUAAUUCCUAAUGAAAAGUUGUUUAGUUUCGUUGACCAUUAAACUUGUAACAAACAUAACUCAGACAAAUUCUAUUUAGUCAGACGUCCCACUUAAAGUGCAGAGUCGAACAAAUGCAGGCAGUUAUGGAAGCUCUCAUGGCAACCAACAAAAGACCAGAGAACCGUUUGAGACCAAAAUUUUCGCAGCUCAGCAAGACUCUGUUGGAGUUUUGAAUGGAAAAAACCAUGAGUUUAUUUUAAUCUGCACUCGUGGAUUUUUUUUUUUCUUUUUUGCAGAUUUCAAAUUAUAAGUCUUACACAAGUAGAUUUAGCGUAUUGAAUUAAGUAUAGAUUAAAAGAGUUUGGUAUGGAUUAGGAUGCAGCCCAUAAUUAGAGCAAUUAAGAUAAGGGCUCGGGGACCUUGGGUUCUCAGAAUUAAUCCAAUCUAUAUAUAUGUGUGUGUGUGUGUGUGUGUGUACAUACAUACAUACAUACAUACAUACAUAUAUAUAUAUAUAUUCAGAUAACUAUGAGUUUGAAUUCAAAUCAAACGUUACAACUGAAAUGAUCAGUUAUUAAUCAAAAAACACAACGGUGAAAGGCAGUUGUUCAUUCUCGUCCAAAAUGCGUGAACAAGUCCAUAAAUUUACCAACCCGUUCCAUUCAGAUUAUCAAUUUUUUAGGCAACCCAGUUUUCAUGUAACAUUAAUAUUUUGGAGAGAAACACUCAGUAUGUUUGAUACAAUCAAAGCCCUAGUGCAAGGACUUUGAUUGUGAUAGUUGAAUCCUGGUGAUAGAAGCCUACAAGAACUACUGCAAAAGUGUAGAGGCCAAAUUUCUGUCUUGCAAGCCUCUACCAUCCAUCUGUUAGUAAAUUCUUACUCAUUUAAUAUUUUUCAUUUUCAUUUGCAUUAUCCUUAUUAUUAUCAGUGGUUUGUAAUUUGUAAUACUGUUAUCAAUAAAUCAUAUUUUCUGUUUUGUUUCCAACAGACUCUUUCAAAACCUGGUAGCAGUUUGGCAGGCUUGAUCCUUGUUACUCAUGCUAAAUUGGUGAUAUUGGGUGCAGAAAGGACGACGGAAUAGUUCCCAAUUCCCCGAGAAAGCAGUCACCAGCAGGAAUGAGAAAAGCUGAAAAGACAUAACCAUCAAAACGAUUUCUUCUCAUAAGAAACUAGACCAUGAACUCCACCUUCUACUUGUGCUGCUGCUGUUCUUAUCUGCACAGUAAAAUACAUUGUCAACUAAUUGAGAAACCAUAUUAGUUCUUGAUACGAUCGACCGUCAUAACUGUAAAACUUAAGAACUCUCAAGGUUUUACUUCAAGUUUCAUACCUCUGCCAAGAGAGGCUGCAUGUAUUUAUAUUCAUAUUCAACUUACAUCAGAAAAUGAAAACCCUAUUUACAAUUCAUGCAGCACGUGCUGCAUGUGCUUGGGGAAAUAUAAAAACUAAUAAGUCCAUCCCUAUUUACAGUGCAUGUUGCACAUGCUGAGGGCUUAUAUAAAACUAACAGUUCCAUGACCAUCUCCAUGCUGCCCGUGCCUUUCUUGUCGAAGGCCACACAUGAUGUGGAGAUAGAAAACUGAUAUAAAACUUGCAGUCCAUACUUCUUGGUUCCCAUAUUCAAAAUCUAGCUCUGCUUGGAUAGGAGGCUCGAACUUGGUCUAACAGCCCCCCGCAAGCUGACAGGAGGAGAAACAACUGGAAGCUUGGAAACAAGAUGCUUGAACCGUGAGGAGGACAAACCUUUGGUGAAGAGAUCAGCAAUCUGGUCUUGAGAACAUAUGAAAUUCACAAGUAACUCUUGACGAACCACUUUCUCACGAACAUAAUGAUAGUCUACCUCCAAGUGCUUUGUACGGGAGUGAAACACGGGAUUAGACGCGAGGGCAAUGGAGGAAACAUUGUCACACCAGAUGGUUGGUCGAUCAAGAAGUAGAUGUAGGUCACGAAAUAAAGACCGGAACCAUGAUAAUUCUGCAGCAGUAUAGGCAAGCUGCCUGUAUUCAGCUUCUGAACUUAACCGACUGACAGUUUUGUGCUUUUUAGAACUCCAAGACACGAGAUUGGAUCCUAAGUAAAUGCAGAAACCACCUGUGGAAUGCCGUGUAUCAGGAUUCCCAGCGUAAUCAGCGUCAGAAUACGCUGUAAGAUGUGCAGUACCAGGUGUAUACACAAGACCAUGGUUGUAUGUGGAUUUCACAUAGUGAAGGAUCCGUUUUACUGCCAUCCAGUGAGUAUUCUUUGGAGAUUGCAUGAACUGACAUACCUGGUUUACUGCAUAAGAGAGGUCUGGUCUCGUGAUAGUUAGAUACUGAAGUGCGCCGACAACACUUCGAUACGUCUCAACAUCGUCGUGUGGCUCACCAUUGUAAGCACUAAGUUUCUGUCCGCAAGAGACUGGAGUGGAAAUAGGUUUAGCAUCCAAAAAUUUUGUACGCUUCAGCAAGUCCACAGCAUACUUGGCCUGAUUCAAGUGCAUUUGAUCACCAUGAUAAGUUACUUCAACACCCAGAAAGUAAUGAAGAGACCCCAAUUCCUUCAUUGAAAACAAAGUUCCCAGUUGAUGAAUUAAACGGGACAUGUGGGGAGUGCUAUUCCCUGUCAACAAUAUAUCAUCUACAUAGAUCAAUAAAAAUCAAGUAGACACCAGAGUGAUUGAAAACAAAUAAACUGUAAUCACACGUAGAUGCUUGAAACCCUAAUUGAAGCAAAAACUCUGAAAAACGUUGAAACCACGCUCGUGGAGCUUGUUUCAAGCCGUAUAUACUGCGUUGCAAUUUACAAACAUGGUUGGGAUGCUGCUCAUCAAUGAAACCUGCAGGUUGUCGCAUAUAUACUUCCUCCUUCAGAAAGCCAUGCAGGAAAGCAUUUUGUACAUCCAAUUGCCGGAUGUGCCAUUUAUUUGAAACUGCCAAACUAAGAACAAGGCGUAUAGUGCUGUGCUUGACCACAGGGCUAAAGGUCUCGGUGUAAUCAAGUCCAUGCUGUUGAUGAAAUCCAUUUGCGACUAACCUCGCCUUGUGCCUCUCCAAAGAACCAUCCGCUCGUCUUUUGAUCUUAAAAACCCAUUUAUUUGGCAGCACAUUCAGUUGUGAAUGAUAAGGAACAAGCUCCCACGUGCCACAUCGUUGUAGUGCAUUAAAUUCUUGAACCAUGGCGUCCCUCCAUUUGUGGUGCUUGAUUGCCUGACUGAAACAUGUGGGUUCAACUAAAGGUUGAUCAGUAGAGACAUGCAAGGCAUAUUUAGGAUUAGGUUUGUGGAUGCCAGACUGUGAUCGAGUCGUCAUAUGCGACCUUUGUACUGAGGCUUGAUGAAGUGAAGCAGUGUCAUGGUCUGAUGGUGGGUGAGACUGAGACGUAGGUGACUCAACACUUGUGACUUGCUCAUUUAAAAUGUGGUUCGGGGAACUAGGGUUGGGAAGAAAUAAGGUGGCUAGCGGGUUGGAAGGACAAGAUAACACGGGAUUUUGGGAAAAAUUAUUGGGAUCAGGACUUUGCGGAUUGGGCGUGGUUGAGGUUGGCUGUGAUGGGAUCACUAAACAUUGGUUAUGGUUUGGCAAAGGUAAGGAUGACAAGAGUAUAGGAAAUGUGAACAGAAGAUCAGGGGAUGUAAAACUACCUGUGUGAUCAACGUUUUCCCGCAAGGAUGUGAGUUCCUUAAAUGGAAAUGAGUCCUCAUCGAAUAGGACAUGGCGAGACAAAUAAAUUCGUCUCGUGGACAGGUCCAAACAUUUAUACCCUUGAUGAUUCAGUGAGUAUCCUAAAAAUACACAUGGUUUGGACUUGGGUUGAAGUUUAUUUUGUGCAUAAGGAACAAGCCAAGGAAAGCACUUACAACCAAACACUUUUAACAUCUCAUAGUGUGGAGGUUUUUGAAACAAGGUCUCAUAGGGCGAUUUAUGAGACAAAACACGAGUUGGCAGUCUAUUAAUUAAAUAGGUUGCCGUUGAACAUGCAUCAAACCAAUAUUUAUUUGGAAUGUGAGAGUGAGUAAGUAGGACAAUACUUGUUUCAACAAUAUGGCGAUGUUUUCUUUCUGCUAGGCCAUUUUGCUCGGGAUGUUUUGGACACGAAAACCUUUGAGAAAUUCCAUUUGUUGCAAGAAAUCGUUGAAAACAGUGACUCUUGUACUCAACCUCCUUCAUCACAUUGAAGGGUUUUAAUGGAAGUAUUAAACAUAUUUUCAACCUUAGCUUUAAAUUGAACAAAUAUUUCAAACACUUCAGAUUUAUUUUUCAUGGGAAAAAUCCAAGAGUACCGAGAAUAAUCAUCCACAAACAAAACAUAAUAUUGAAAACCUUCAAUUGAAAUAACGGGAGAACACCAAACAUCGGAAUGUAAAAGUUGUAAGGGAAAUUGAGAAACAGACUCUGAAGUACUAAAUGGUAACUUAGUACUUUUUCCUAAAGGACACGACGGACAAAACGUGACAUCAACAGUACCAUGAAUUGGUACUUGUUUGUUUGAGAUUAAAAACUUGAUAAUAGAGAAUGCAGGAUGACCAAGACGUGAAUGCCAUUUCGGAGCCGAGACUCGAAUGCCUAGACAUACUGAAAUAGGGUUUAUGAACUGUCCACCACCACCAACAAAUGGGUAUAAGCCAUUCUCACAUCUCCCGCGGAAAAGCGUCUUCCGGGUCUUGAGGUCCUUAACAAGAAAAAAAAUGAGGAAAGAUGAGUAAAUAGCACUUGUUGUCUAAUGUAAAUCUGUGUGCAGAAAUAAUGUUGGUUGAGGCAGUGGGGCAUCUUAGAAUAUUUGGCAGUUUAAAUGAGCAAGAUUGUGUUUGUAGAUGAUUCGAACCUAUAUGAGAAAUAGAGAGGCCAGUAUCAUUACCUACACCACCCACAUUCUGAUUACCAUUGUAUUCUUUUGGGUUUACCAAAUUCUGGAUGUCAGGAGUCACAUGAGCGUUAGCACCAGUGUCCAAAAGCCACUGUCCAUUGUUCUGAUGAUUAAACGGAACCGGAGUUGUUACCAUGGCAGUGAGCUGUUUUGUUGGAAUCCUCCCUUCAUAGGCUGCAUUCAUUCGUUGAUAACAAUCAAGGGCAGGAUGACCUUGUUUUCCACAAAUCUGGCAUGUGAUACGGUCUCCUGUGAGAGUGAGUUUCUCACCAUUGUAGGUCGAGUUGGGCCGUUGAUUAUUGUUGAGAGGAAAGAACCCCCGCGGGUUGACACCACCACCACGUGCAUACUGAAACGCACCACGUCCAUUUCCACGAAGUCGUCCACCACGACCUCUGGCAGUGACAAAGGCAUUCACCGGAGCAGCCUCCAUAGGCUGAGCAUUCUGUGCAGCCAUGCGUCUCUCGGUGGUCAGUAGGAGGGCCUCAAGGGUAGGGUACGCGAUUGGAGUAUCGCGUGCUUGAGCAGCACUCACUGUCAUUUCAUAUGUAGGGCCCAAAUUGUUCAAGAUAAUUUGGACGAGUUCAUCAUCAUUCACGGGGUUGCCAGCUAGGGCAAGGUUAUCAGUGAUCGAGUUCAUGCGAUCAAGAUAAUCAGCAAUAGACAUGUCACCUUUCUUAGUUUGCAUCAGUUCAUUGCGAAGAAACAAAAUACGAUUUUGGGAUGUAGAAGCAUACCGUUGUUCCAGAGCCUCCCAGGUGUCAUGAGAGGACCUCUUGCUGGCGACGACGGACAACACAGAUGGCGUAAGAGAGCCAUUGAUCCAGCUCAGGAUCAUUUGAUCAUGCUGCACCCAUGUUGUGUAGGUUGGGUUGACAGCUGCAGCAUCAGGAAGAUGUUUGGGUGGACAUACGAUGGACCCAUCAACAUAUCCCAUCAGGUUACGACUCUUGAGUAUAGGAAGGAUCUGAGCCAACCACAGAGGAUAGUUGGUUCUAUCCAGUUUGAUAUUAACAACCGUUGUCAUGGAUGAGUAGGAAUUCAUGGCAGAGUUUGAAAGAGAGUUGGGAGAGGUUGCAGCGCCGUUGGUAGCGUCAGCCAUGGAAAGAAAAAAAAAAUUGAGGAUCUAAGUCGUUAGACUGCUAGGGCUCGUAUACCAUGUAAAACUUAAGAACUCUCAAGGUUUUACUUCAAGUUUCAUACCUCUGCCAAGAGAGGCUGCAUGUAUUUAUAUUCAUAUUCAACUUACAUCAGAAAAUGAAAACCCUAUUUACAAUUCAUGCAGCACGUGCUGCAUGUGCUUGAGGAAAUAUAAAAACUAAUAAGUCCAUCCCUAUUUACAGUGCAUGUUGCACAUGCUGAGGGCUUAUAUAAAACUAACAGUUCCAUGACCAUCUCCAUGCUGCCCGUGCCUUUCUUGUCGAAGGCCACACAUGAUGUGGAGAUAGAAAACUGAUAUAAAACUUGCAGUCCAUACUUCUUGGUUCCCAUAUUCAAAAUCUAGCUCUGCUUGGAUAGGAGGCUCGGACUUGGUCUAACAAUAACAUCUCAGCUUCCUUGAGCAAUAACAAGGUAAUCGUGGAGUGCGCUUUUCCUUGAGGUAAUAGAUCGGGCAGGAAAACUAUCUAAGAAGUAAGCGGGGAGAGGGAAGACCCUGAGAGGUUACAGGUUUCUUCUGCGUAAGUAAAUAAGUGUCUGCAUAUGAGUGACACACAAUGGCAAUACUCUAGGUUAAUAGGUUUCCUCCCCACUCGUUUCAGUGGUUUAACCUAAGAGUGAAGAACAAAAAUACCACAUAUAAUGGAAAGAAACAUUCGCUACAAUAUCAAUUCUCAUUUAAAGCAUAGAACUAAAAUGACAUCCUUAAUGACAAUGAUAUGAGUAAUACAACAACGUCUGCAAAAUAGUUAUUGCGUAAAACGAGGUUUCCAAGAUCUUGGUGCUUUUUCAUUGCCUUAAAACGCUUGAUUUUAUGAGGUCAUGAGCAGACUGCAAUGAAGAAGCACUAAGAUCUUGAAAUUUCGAGAUAUUCGCAACAACUAUUAAAAACCUAUAAACAAACUGAUUCAAGAAAUCAAGACUCGUACAUAGUGGGAGUCCUAGAGUUAUAUUUAUUAAAUACAAGAAAAAUAUGGGAGUUCACGAGUUCGAUGCACCGACUUGGUGACUCUGCUUGGCUAUGGCCACUGUUAGGGUAAAAUUCUUCUUAGUCUCUCUGGACCUGAAAGAAAUGAAUAACCUUGACUUGUCACCAAUUGUAUUUCUUUUAAAAAAGAAAAAAAAAGAAAAAAAAAAGUAUUUUCUUUUUCUUCCUCAAUGGUGUUUUUUAUUUUUAUUUUAUUUAAAUUUAUUGGUUUCUGGCAUCGAUUAAUUGAUGUUGGCUAUAAAUAUCUUUUGGUGUUUUUUUUAAUGUUAAUCGCGUGUGCAAAGCUUGCUUCUGUAUUUCUCCCUUCAAUAACAAAGCUGUUUCACUUUUCUUUUUGUUACUAAUUCCUCAUAAAACACUAAAUUUUCUUAUGCUUCGACGUAUGUCUUACAUGUCAUUGUGUGGAAGAGAAUUAGAGCAUACUAAAAACAAUGUGCGGAGGAGAAUGACUUUUGAUGAAAAUGUUUUUCAAACUAAUUCUUAGUAAAAAUACAAAUUGAAUCUUGAAAAAAGCAUUUCAAGUGCUUUCUACCAGAAGUACAUAACUGGUUCUUUUUGGAGGCAACAUUUUAAAUGUUUUUCGAACUCAAAAUCAUUCUAUUUAAAAAUAUUUUCAAACGGGUGAUGCUCAUCUGCACACGAAAAAUAAAUGUUGAGAUUUAACUAAAUUUCAAUUGGCCAAAUCUCAAUAGUUCAUUCGUGAAAAAUGGUGCAGUAAAGAGAAUUAGACCCAAGUCUAGUCAACCUGAGAGGACUUUGCUAACUUGUGGAAUGGGCGGAGGACUUGGUAUUUUCGACCCCAUCGAUUUCCUAGCGAGCUUCAGCUUCUUAUAUAUGGACUUGUAUGCUCACCUCAGUAGCCAGCCAUCUGCAACAAAAAAAGAAAAACUUCAUAAAAAUAGAAAUUAGGCAUGCGCGUUGCCGCGAGAACCAGCUGUUUCAGGCAUAAUCGGAUGAAUAAAACACAUUUAAGUCGAAUAAAUUCAACACAAUUAUGAACAAACAAAGGGAUACAUGAGUGAAUGAGGUCGAUAAGAUAAGCAACUUAGCUUUUAUAUAGAUUCAACUGAGCAUGGCUUAUUCAAGGGUUAAAAGAGCAGUUAAACUGAUUGAAAUAAAAACAGUUACAACAAAUGACUUGUACUCUAGAGUUUCGUUCACCAAAAUCACUUCUCAUUCCUAAAUUAGGCAAAUUCCCAACAAUAAAGGUCGUACCCAGUGCACAAGGCUCCCGCUUUACGCAGGGUCUGGGAGAGGUGAAUGUCGGCUAGCCUUACCCCCAUUUAUGGAGAGGCUGCUCCCAAGUCUCGAACCCGAGACCUACCGCUCAUGGGCGAAGGCACUUGCCAUCGCACCAAGUGCGACCUCUCAAAUUCCCAACAAUAACAAAAAAAAAAAUCUCUUGGAUUUCACUCACUUAAUCAUAGGCAUCCAAUCAUCCGCAACAAAUGCAGAAAGAAGCAGAAAUCACCUUGAGACAAUACAGAGUCCACUGUUGCUACCUCGGCAGCAUGACACAGUUUGGGCAACAAAGAGCAUAAAAAGGAACAUAAUUUCCAAGCAAGCAGAGUAAUUGCAGAGCUAUAAGUUUGUGAUGAGCUAAAACAGCUACCUGUUAAAGUACAUACAAAGUUUUCUCAGAAUUCAAACACAAAAAACAAUCAAUCAACAGACAAAUUUUAAGGCUCAAAGGUACCAGCCAGGUGAAGUGCAGUGAAUUCAAAGUUGGCGCAGGAUAGAAGGACCUUGUUUCAGAAAGGAAAGAUGUGAUCGCCUUUGUGAUGUUUACUUUUGUGCUUAUCCUUUGUCUUCUUUUCUGAGGCAAAAUAUGUCAAUGUGAUAAGUAAUUUCCCAUAAAGAAUCUCAUCCUCAAUAGGCUAAAAAAACUACAAUGGUUAGUCAAAUAAUGUACUUUCAUGUAGUUAAUCUCCUAGGUUUGUGUUCACUUUUUCAAUAUCAAAACAACUCGAUGAAACAAUGUUUUCCCAUACUCUACAAACACCGAAUGUGCCCGAUAAACCACUAACAAUGCCAUUACUCUAAUUCGACUGCAGAGUGAGAGUUAAGAAAAGAAGAUACUCACAGCCCAAAACGGAUGACAUCACCAACACGUAAAUCCACAUAAACCUUUUUGUUCACCUGAUUAUUAGGCAAGAGAAAACCAUUAGGAACAAUCAAGAGCCUUUGUAUAGCUUCUGUCUCUGUACCAAGAGGAACGACUUACAUGCUUCUGUCUCUGUACUACAUGCAAUGAAGGUAUAGCUUGGAUACCGGACUUGCUCCUAGCUUGAGCUGUUUCCAAAGAAGGAAAAUUUAACAUUAUUUUGUAAUAAAUUGCAGAGUGCCUUGCACAGCUCUCCAUGCUGCAGAAGAAAAUAAAAACAACGAACCAAUGAUGCACGAUGAUAAAAUCGUGGGACAAAAUCAAAAGGUAAUAUCCAGAGAACUCGUGGUGACACUAUUGACCUAUAGUGUGCAGACUGAAUUGCCCUUCAAUUCUUAUCAAUCAUAAACAAAAAUCUUUUAAACGACAACCAUACAGAAAAUGCAGCUCGUACAUCACAGACAACAACACAUGCAUGACUAUUCAAUCAGUACCCGCAUCCAAAACUGUACAUGCAUGAAUAUUUUUCCAUUCCAGCUAGUACAUCACAGACAACCAUACAGGAAAUACAGAGAUGAAAAAAGAAGCUGAGUCCAGUAGAUCAUGCAUUGAUUUGUACGUAAGACAACUUCGAAACAUUAACCGCAAUGAAGCAAAACAAAAAAGUACUACUGCACACCACAGAUUGGCCAAAAAAACGCAUAAGAUCAGGAGAAUUUGCAUAUGCAAAGAACAUUGACAUCCUGAUAAAACAAAACAUACAAAUAGAAUUAAUAUUACCAGCCGAAUCAAGAUUACAAACCACAGACAUUAGCAACAAAAACCUCAAAACCAAUUCCUCAGACACUCCAAAAAAACAACUCAAAAUCCAUUAAAAGUACAAAAAUCACAUAUUUCCAUCUAUGCCUGCAUGUAUUUUCGGGAUCAAAAAUUCAAAACAAAGUAAAAUACCACUGGGUUUGUCGCUGAGAUUGAUUAAGUGCAAUUUGUAGGGCACUUUCUUCUCCUCCAAGGUCAGAAGAACCCUUUGGCUGAAAGGGCCUGUCAGAAACGAAAGAUGGAAAAUUUUAGUAGUAACAAAAGAAGCAAUGCAAAACAGUCUCUAAGAACCAAGUUAGCAUCCAUAGGCACAACCCAACAGUCUCAAGAAUUUUGUUCCAAGUAUAGUCUACCUUUCAUUUUCAAAAUAAAACAUCUUCAUCUACCAGGUAAAUGAUAACAUAAAGUAUCAUUUUCAAUCUACAGAAUUUUGUAAUCGAACCCAUAUAUAUAUAUAUAUAUAUAUAUAUAUAUAUAUGGAGAAAAAUCAACUAUUUCCCUAGUACUAACAAAAUUAGUAGUGUAUAUACGUAAUAUAUAUAUGUAAGUACACUUUUGGAUUUGAAGAAUUUCUCCUUGGAUAAUAAAAUUGCAGGGUAAAACAUACUUGAACCAUUUCACUGACGAAGUUGAAACCUCCAGGUCCAUAAUGGAUUCACUAAUAACCUGUCUAGUUUUGGUAUGAAGGAAGAAGAAUAUGAACAUUAUGUAAGAUCAUAGCAUUAAGUUUUCUCUAUUAAGUUUGGAAAUAUAUGUACACGGGUAUGUAUUUAUGAAUGUAUGUAUCAGACCAGUUGUCCAGCGCAAGCAAAGGCAAUGCCACCACAGGUUACAGAUACAAUAACGACCACCAAAUCUGAUAUUAAUCUACAAUUUGGCCAGACGGGUAUUUUGCUACCAAGGCAAAAUUCUCAAUAGCCCAAGCAUCAGCCUAUCAUAUGAAGAAAUAUUCAUAAGGGAAAAGGUAAGCUUAAACAGGAUUUCAUAUGUAUGAACUCACUCUUUGAUACUUAAUUACUCGUCCUAUUACCAAAUAGCUAUUGGAAAUGGUUGAGUUAUAAAACUUGACUAUAAACAGGCCCGACUCUUAUCAAAUAGCUCUCAAAAAUUCGAUAUGUAAAAACUGAACAAAAAAAUAGAUCCCAAAUCUUAUCCAACAACGAACAAUGAACCAAAGUUACAUGAACAAAAACAAUACCAACAUUUCAAGCUGUACAAAACUAAACCCAUUCAGGAAAGCACAAAGUCAUACAUCCAAUCCUGUCCCAUUCAAAAUUCCAAUACUCGAUUCUAAAGAAUAAAAAGAACAAUAGCAUUCAAAAUCAAUAAUUGUAAAGAAUACCAACGGCAAUAGCAUUCAAAAUCAAUAGUUCGCAAGUCUCCAACCUGCAUAGCAAAAUGCAAAGAGAGCAAAAGUCUCCAACUCUCCAACCAACAUAACAAAAUGUCAAAAAUCAAAAUGCCUUAAUGGCAUUAGUACAACACAAAGUUCAAAAUAUUAGCAAUAAAUUUAAAAAUGCCUUAUCUAAUAUCAUUGAGGGCAUAAGUUGGAAGAGAAGACAAAAAACGAAAAGGGGUUGAUGCAGGCAGUGUAAAAAGCAUAAGAGAGGAAAGAUACCCAAAACCAAUCACAAAUUAUAGUGAAAAUUCGUGUUAUAGCAACCCUAAAUUCAAAAAAUUUCUCUCGUUUUCCAUAUUUUCUCAUCAAACAAACCACAUAUUCAUAUAAAAUCAGAAAAGUAAAAUUACCAAUAGUAGCAUGCUCUGGGGCUCGUAUGACGGCGUUCCUUCGCCCACAGCGGUGUCGAGAUUGCUUUCUGCAGCAAGGAUUACAAAGGAAGUCCGUAAAAUUCAUCGACAACUGCAAGAAAACAAAACCACCAAAAGUCAGAGAUUUCCAAAACCGAAAAGAAAUGAGAGAGACAGAGAGAGAGAGAGAUUGGAGUACCGUAAGUGCAUAAACAUAUUGGAAAAACAAUUGCACGGCAAUUACUACAACUUGAAUCAAAAUUCCACUGUUCAUUACACAUUGCUUUGGAAUUGUGUAAGUAGAGAAAGAAUUGGAGUUCUUAAAGAGUGUUGGCGAACUGAAUAUCAGAUUCGAGCGCCUUGAGAGAUUCAUUGAAGGAUUUCGUUCAACGUUUAUCAAAUGUCAGUAAAUUCUGUAAUGUACAUGGAAAAAUCUAGAAAUAUUGAGAUGAACAAAAAUAAGUGAAUCAAACGACUGUAAUUUUGAAAUAUCAUCUAUUAGCUAAAACGACAUUUUUCCAUCAAAAUAACAUAACCCCAAAGAAAAAAUGGAAAUUGGGAACGGCCCAUAAUCUGAAAGGUCGUACCCAGUGCACAAGGCUCCCGCUUUACGCAGGGUCUGGGAGAGGUGAAUGUCGGCUAGCCUUACCCCCAUAAUCUGAAAAUUUACAAAAAUUAACAGAAACGGAUGAAAUAUGAGAGAAAGAAUUGGAGUUCUUACAAAGUGUCAAUGAAAUUUUAGAAGAAGAACUCGAUUUUCCUGAUCGUUUUUACUCUUUUCUCAUCCCUCCCAUAAAAAAUCCUAAACACUCAUCACUCCACCCACCUCAAAUCCUCUCUCUGAAAAUAGCAAAAAUAUAUGACCCUUUCUCUCUCUGUAAUCUGAAGAAAAAUCUGAUCAAAAUUUAUAAAAUUAGUUUUUGGUUUUGUAAAAGUGUGGACAGUUAGAAGGGAAUUUGUAGAGAGAAGAAGGGUAACGUUUUCAGUAGAUGGGAAGCAAAGCCAUAUAUGUAGCUCGGUUCGUUUAGAACCAACGAUCAUCCACACAAAACUUUGACUUACACAAAAACCGAUUCAAAAAACCAAAACAGAUACCCAAAAUUAUAACCUGUUGAGCCCAACUACUGGAAGCCCGAGCCCAAUACUCUCUCUUGCGAGUGGGCCGUACCUGAUCCAUCUUUUGGUCCAUAUAGAGCUAGGGUUACUUAUCUUCAGAAUAUAAAUAUGUAAUAUUGUGGACUGAGAGGAGGAAUGAAUGACUGAAUGAAACUUUCUACUUUUUCCCUUAUUCUUCUUUCCUUAUCUCCUUCAAUUUCUGCACUGUUUUCUAUUGAAUCUAACUUCUCAAGACACCCGAGCCCAUUAGUCGUAUCAACUGGUAUCAGAGCCCGUCGAUUCGAUGGGCAAAAACCCGCAUACCGCCACCUCCGACCCUGACGCCGCCGCUGCAGCGGCUGAUGUGCGCCAGGAGCACCUGCGAACACAAGUCGACGACUUGGGUGACUCCGUAGCCGCACUGGAAUCCCAACAUACCAACCUGCAAAAAUCUAUGGAGUCCCUGAACAACGCAAACACUACCUUUCAGAAUACUAUGACUUCACAAUUUGUAGCCUUCCAAUCUCUCAUGUUAGAAGAGCUCCGCCUCAUCAAAUCGGGAUUUCCACCUCCCACCCUCGCCCAAACAGCCCAUCCACACCCACCCAACCCGUCACCCUCCCAUCCCCACCCUCGCCCUCCGCCAGCUUCUUUUACCACCACCCAAACCUCAAACCCGACCCCACCCCCUUCAUUUCGAUCCCUAUUCGCCAAUACCAGUGCUCAAUCUUCGAGCCUCGCCCAUCUUCCUACCUACCUCACCACCACCCUACCCGCUCCCCUUCCAACUACUAUGGCCACCCGCCCCAACCCCUAUCAUUGUGGGUCUCCAUCCCCUUUCACGCCACACACCCCGUCCUUUUUUUCCGCACACUCCCAGUCUUUCCACCUAAGCCCAUCUACGACUGCGGCCCCAUUUCCACCCAACCCCUCACAUACCACCCAACUCACCUUACCAUCACCCCCAUUCCCACCUUAAAUCCAUAAAAAUGGAACUGCCACGAUUCAAUGGCGAAGAUCCCUACGGCUGGUUAGCCAUGGCAGAACGCUACCUCGACUACUAUGAGGUACCCCCAAAUCAGUGGGUUCUCGUGGCUGCGUGCAAUUUUGGGGCUGAUGCCUCCAUCUGGAUGAGAGGAUUUGAGCAACGAUACGGUCGAGACAACUGGAGCCUCUUUGUGGAUAUGUUGUUCCAACGUUUCGGGGGAGGUGACCGUGCCAACAUCGAAUCCCAGCUCACUCAUAUCCAGCAAAAAUCUUCAGUGGAGGAUUAUUUGGCAGAUUUCACACGGCUCUCUUGGCGAGUAACCGACUGGACGGAAAACCAACUGAAACACGUGUUUUUCGGAGGUCUGAAAGACGACAUUCGCCUCGACGUCCUGGCCCGCGAACUAGAUUCACUACACCACGCUAAAAAAUUGGCCAAAAUCUUCGAAACCAAACUUCAUGCCAAACGUUCCACUCGACCACAAUUUCCACGGCCUUACCUAUCCACUACCACCAACCCACACACCUCCACCCACACUUCUUCCCAAACAACCACACCACGACCCCCAACCUUGGCCAGUGCACCCUUCAAACGCCUCACUCCGGCGGUAGUGCAAGACAAAAGAAGGAAAAUGAGUGUUUCAGCUGUAAUGAACCUUACACCCCCACCCACAAAUGUAAAACACCCACCUUGCUCUUGCUAGACACCACUCAAACCGAGGAGACUCCCCAAAGUAUCACGACUGCCAAGAGGACCCUAGUCCCGAUGCCGACCCCACAUGUCACAUGCUGGAACUGUUCUCGAUUCCGGGUAUCGGUAUUGGCAAACCAAUGAAAUUGCAUGGCUCCAUUGCAUCCAAAGCCGUCACCAUCCUAAUUGACUCUGGGGCCGCCUGCAACUUUCUGCACCCCCACGUGGCUGACCAACUAGGCCUUCCAGUGCAAACCAUCCCUGCUGUCAAAUUCACAACAGCCUCCCAAGACCGUUAUUCCUCCAAACGCGUCUCGGAUAUCGCACUCCAAAUACAAGACUACACAUUUCAUGGGUCUUUUCUCUUGUUAGACGUGCCAGGAUGUGAUCUUAUUUUGGGAGCCGAAUGGUUAGAAUCCUUAGGAUUUAUUGGCUGGCAUUUCAAACAGAAAACAAUGGUAUUCUCAGUGGAUGGACAAACCUACACCUUACAAGGUUUGACCCCGUCGACCUCUGUGUUCCCAGAGUGCAACCCCAUACACCACUUAUUCAACAACCCAUUCAAUCUCCUAGCAUCCAUACCCACUCCCACCACCUACCUUAACCCAUCCACCGAAACCCACCCGGCUAUUUCCUCACUACUCAAUCAGUACCAACACAUUUUCACACCACCUUUCGGCCUUCCACCAGAAAGACCCAUCGACCACAAAAUUCCCCUACUACCAAACACCAACCCCAUCAAUGUUAGAACAUGUAGAUACCCCCACUACCAAAAAGCUGAAAUAGAAAAACAAGUGCAGGAAUUUUUAAACUCAGGUGUCAUCCGCCCAAGUUCAAGUCCUUUCUCUUCCCCAGUUCUUCUUGUUAAGAAGAAGGAUGAUACAUGGCGUCUUUGUAUUGAUUAUAGAGCCCUGAAUGCAGCAACUAUCAAAGAUCGUUUCCUGAUACCUGUCGUGGACGAACUUCUUGAUGAAUUACAUGGAGCAACAAUCUUUUCAAAGCUCGACCUCCGAUCUGGUUACCAUCAAAUCCGCAUGAACGCUGCCGACAUUGCAAAGACAGCUUUCCGCACCCAUGAAGGCCACUACGAGUUCACGGUAAUGCCAUUUGGCUUAUCAAAUGCACCUGCCACAUUUCAAUCCUUAAUGAAUUCUAUCUUCCGCCCUUACUUACGAAAAUUUGUCUUAGUUUUUUUUAUGACAUACUUGUGUAUACUACAAAAGGGGGCUAUAGUGUCGGAGGGUGGUGUCGCUUUAAUCUAAUAUAGUGACGGAUUAGGCAGUUGCGACACUAACUGAACAUGACGUCGGAUUUACUAUCGCUUAUAAGCGUUAUUAAAUGUUUAUGUCGCUUUUAAACCGACGUAAACAUAUAUUUUAAUAAUUUUUAAAUACUAGUGUCGCUUUUAAACCGACGUAAACAUUAUUUUAAUAAUUUUUAAAUACUAGUGUCGCUUUUAAGCGACAUAAAGAAUGUAUAUAUAUAUAUUAAAUUAUAUAUAUAUUAAAUUAAAUUUUAUAUCUCUAAAAACUAUAAUAAUUAUAUAUAUAUAUAUAUUAAAUUAAAUUUUAAAAAAUUGGUAAUCAUUGGAUUGGCUUAAAUAUACAUACGAUUCAAUUUCUUAAGUGUUAUACAUACAAAAUAAAUAAAUUUAAAUCUAUUUAAUAUAUAUAUAUAUAUAUAUACACACCAUUGAACUUGAUUGGAUACGAAUUCUAUGAAACUAAUUUCGACAGUUAUAAACGAAAAAUCACGAUUUAACGGUUAUUUUAACUCCGAUUUUGAUGAUUUUUUACAUCUACACUCCUUGACCCUAUAUGAAUACAAUGAAUGGAUUUGAUCUUCAAAUUAAAAUAUUUACACAAGUGGAUACCACAAAAUCUUAUGUUAUACUUAAUGAAAGUAUAAAUAAACUCUAAGUGUUAGUCAAUCUAUUGUUUUGAUGGGAUACAAAUUCUCCGAAACUAAUUUCAACGAUCCCAACCGUCAAACUUGUUUGCAUAUGCUUCGAGAUCACAUCAGCAAAAAAUCACAAAAAACAAACAUUCAGAGAUCAAGUAACGGGACAAAGCUUUUCGACGGUUAUAAACGAAAAAUCACGAUUUAACGGUUAUUUUAACUCCGAUUUUGAUGAUUUUUUACAGCUACAUUCCUUGACCCUAUAUGAAUAGAAUGAAUGAAUUCGAUCUUCAAUUUAAAAUAUUUACACAAGUGGAUACCACAAAAUCUUAUGUUAUACUUAAUGAAAGUAUAAAUAAACUCUAAGUGUUAGUCAAUCUAUUGUUUUGAUGGGAUACGAAUUCUCCGAAACUAAUUUCAACGAUCCCAACCGUCAAACUUGUUUGCAUAUGCUUCGUGAUCACAUCAGCAAAAAAUCACAAAAAACAAACAUUCAGAGAUCAAGUAACGGGGCAAAGCUUUUCGACGGUUAUAAACGAAAAAUCACGAUUUAACGGUUAUUUUAACUCCGAUUUUGAUGAUUUUUUACAGCUACACUCCUUGACCCUAUAUGAAUACAAUGAAUGAAUUCGAUCUUCAAAUUAAAAUAUUUACACAAGUAGAUACCACAAAAUUUUAUGUUAUACUUAAUGAAAGUAUAAAUAAAUUCUAAGUGUUAGUCAAUCUAUUGUUUUGAUGGGAUACGAAUUCUCUGAAACUAAUUUCAACGAUCCCAACCGUCAAACUUGUUUGCAUAUGCUUCGAGAUCACAUCAGCAAAAAAUCACAAAAACCAAACAUUCAGAGAUCAAGUAACGGGACAAAACUUUUCGACGGUUAUAAACGAAAAAUCACGAUUUAACGGUUAUUUUAACUCUGAUUUUGAUGAUUUUUUACAGCUACACUCCUUGACCCUAUAUGAAUACAAUGAAUGAAUUCGAUCUUCAAAUUAAAAUAUUUACACAAGUAGAUACCACAAAAUCUUAUGUUAUACUUAAUGAAAGCAUAAAUAAAUUCUAAGUGUUAGUCAAUCUAUUGUUUUGAUGGGAUACGAAUUCUUCGAAACAAAUUUCAACGAUCCCAACUGUCAAACUUGUUUGCAUAUGCUUCGAGAUCACAUCAGCAAAAAAUCACAAAAAACAAACAUUCAGAGAUCAAGUAACGGGAACAAAGCUUUUUCGACGGUUAUAAACGAAAAAUCACGAUUUAACGGUUAUUUUAACUCCGAUUUUGAUGAUUUUUUACAGCUACAUUCCUUGACCCUAUAUGAAUAGAAUGAAUGAAUUCGAUCUUCAAUUUAAAAUAUUUACACAAAUGGAUACCACAAAAUCUUAUGUUAUACUUAAUGAAAGUAUAAAUAAACUCUAAGUGUUAGUCAAUCUAUUGUUUUGAUGGGAUACGAAUUCUCCGAAACUAAUUUCAACGAUCCCAACCGUUAAACUUGUUUGCAUAUGCUUCGAGAUCACAUCAGCAAAAAAUCACAAAAAACAAACAUUCAGAGAUCAAGUAACGGGACAAAGCUUUUCGACGGUUAUAAACGAAAAAUCACGAUUUAACGGUUAUUUUAACUCCGAUUUUGAUGAUUUUUUACAGCUACACUCAUUGACCCUAUAUGAAUAUAAUGAAUGAAUUCGAUCUUCAAAUUAAAAUAUUCACACAAGUGGAUACCACAAAAUCUUAUGUUAUACUUAAUGAAAGUAUAUAUAUAUAUUUAUUAAGUAGAUUUAAAUUUAUUUAUUUUGUAUGUAUAACACUUAAAAAAAUUGAAUGGUAUGUAUAUUUAAACUGAUCCAAUGGUCACCAAUUUUUAAAAUUUAAUUUAAUAUAUAUAUAUAUAAUUAUUAUAGUUUUUAGGGGUAUAAAAUUGUUACAUUAAUAUAUAUAAUUAUUAUAGUAUUUUUAGGGUUAUAAAAUUAAUAUAUAUAUAAAAUUAUAGUAUUUGAAAUAUUAGGCGGGAAAUUUCCCGCUUGUUUGAAUGGAUGGAGAGACUUAGUGUCGGUUUUAACCGACGCUAGUGUCAUUAAAGCGACGCUAUGUGAAUUUCAAAAAGUGUGUCAGAAGUUGGCGUCGGUUAAAAGCGACGCUAGUUUCAUUAAAGCGACGCUAGUUUCAUUAAAGCGACGCAAGUUGCAUUAAAGCGACGCUAUGUGAAUUUCAAAAAGUGUCAAAAGUUUGUGUCGGUUUAAAGCGACGCUAGUUUCAUUAAAGCGACGCUAGUUUCAUUAAAGCGACGCAAGUUUCAUUAAAGCGACGCUAUGUGAAUUUCAAAAAGUGUCAGAAGUUUGUGUCGGUUUAAAGCGACGCUAGUUUCAUUAAAGCGACGCGAGUUUCAUUAAAGCGACGCUAUGUGAAUUUCAAAAAAUGUGUCAGACGUUUGCGUCGGUUUUAACGGACGCAAACUAAGUACCCAUAUUUAAACCCCUAUCUUUCCCAUUUCAACUGUGCUUUCAUUUCUCCCCCAAUUUCAGACUUUCUUCUUCUCCUUCCCCAUUUCAUAUGUGCGCCCCCUUCUUCCUCCUUUUCAGUUUUUCCUCAACUCCUUCCCCGUUUGCUUUGGAUCACCAGUUUGAAGAUCAACAUUCUGAAGAACUCCAAUUCGAGGAGGAAGAUCUUGAAGGUGGUUCAUUUUUAAAUUAUUAUGAUUAUUAAUUUUAGUUUCUAUUUUGUAUUCUAAAUAGUUUUAUGCUUAAAUUGAAAAUUUAUUUUUGUUUCUUGGUUUUUAAUUGUUUUUUUUUUUGUAUUUAUGCAUGUUGGAUCUGAAGAGCAAGGACACUGGAAAUCGCAGAUCCAUAAUUUUUUAAAGGUAUAAAACCUGAGUUUAAUCUAUAGAGAUUAGAGCCCUAAUGUUGAAGUAGUAAAGUAUUGGAGCACUGAUCUGAUGGCAAGCAUGGCAGCAUGGAGUUGCUAGUAUUAUAUAUGGCACUAUGGAGCUACAAAAUCUGUGGUCUUCGACAAAGGCAAGCACAGGAAAGCAUGGAGGAUGAAUUUUUGUAAAUUAUAUGGAAUGUUAGAUGUAAAACAUUUGUAUAUUAUGGCACUAUUUUCUUUUUUGAAUUAUUUUUAUUAUUGUUUGUUUUGGCCUAAAAUUGAAAUUUAUUAUUUCGAUUAUAUAAUUUUUUUGAGUUAUAAUUAUUUGAGAACGAAUACAGAAACAGAUUUCGACUUUUUUUUUAAUUAUUAUUAUCAAAGGUGGUGUCGGUUUAAACCGUCACUAGUUUGCAUAUUUUAUUUAUUUAAUUGUUCUCUAACGUCGCUUUAAACCGUCACUAGUUUGCAUAUUUUAUUUAGUUAAUUGUUAACUAGCGUCGCUUUAAACCGACGUUAACAUCAGCGUCGCUUUAAACCGACGUUAACAUCAGCGUCGCUUUAAACCGACGCUGUGUAGUGGCGGAUUAAGCGAACAAAGCGACGCUGAAGCCCUUUAGUGACGGUAGCAAUGGCGUCGCUAUUCCAAUCCGACAUUGCAGUGUUUAAUGUCGGAUUUUUGCCAAAUUUCCGACAGAAAUCGGGGUUUCUUGUCGGUUUUGGGUCCGCCGGUGAUAGCCUAUAUUGUAGUAGUGAUAGUCCUUCCAUAGCAUCUCACAUCUCCCAUCUGGAGACAAUUUUUUAGAUUCUUUCCACACACAGCUUGAAGGGUAAGCUCAGCAAGUGUUCAUUCGGCAAGGAGCAAGUUGAAUAUUUGGGACAUACUAUUUCAGGAAAGGGUGUUGCAGUAGAUCCUUCAAAAAUCAAGGCCAUCAGAGAAUGGCCACAGCCAACAUCACUUAAGAGCCUUCGUGGUGUCCUCGGGUUAACGGGUUACUACCGGAAAUUUGUGAAGCAUUAUGGCCUCAUUGCCAAGCCCUUAACGAACAUGUUGAAACAAGGCAAUUUCUCAUGGUCCACAGAUUCAAUAAAGGCUUUCGAAGCAUUGAAGAAUAUGUUAGCGACCACCCCAGUGCUUGCCCUACCAGAUUUCUCCAAACAAUUCGUCAUCGAAACGGACGCAGCAGACACUGGUAUUGGCGCUGUUCUAAGCCAAGAGGGUCAUCCUAUUGCUUACCUUAGCAAAGCACUUUCCGACCGUACACUUGGAUUGUCAACUUACGACAAAGAAAUGCUAGCAAUAGUUUUUGCAGUCCAACACUGGCGACCAUACCUCCUGGGGCAACAUUUCCGCAUCGUCACGGAUCACCAACCAAUCAAACAUUUCUUAGAGCAACGAAUUACCACUCCACAACAGCACCAAUGGUUGGUCAAGCUGCUCGGGUACAAUUACUCCGUCGAGUAUCGGCCGGGUUCUCUGAAUAAGGGCCCUGAUGCACUCUCCCGCCAACAUGAUCUCCUGCUGUUAAUGGGCCUCUCCACACCCAUAUUUGAUUGUAUCCCACAGCUGCAACAAGCAUAUGCCCAGGACCCGGAAGUGCAAAAGGUUUGGCACUUAUUACCUUCGGUAACAAAUACCCCAAUCAAAGGGUUCUCUCUUAUCAACAACGUGCUGCACUACAAACAAAGAGUUUUUGUUCCCCUCACUUCACAUUGGAGACCCAAGCUCCUGGCCGAAUUCCAUGCCACUCUUCAAGGGGGCCACUCCGGUUUCCUUCGUACUUACAAACGACUCUCCAGAAAUUUUUUAUGGCCUGGAAUAAGGAAAGAAACAAAGAAGUUCGUGGCCGAAUGCAUAGAGUGCCAACGCCAAAACAUUGAAAACAUUCACCCUCCGAGCUUGCUCCAACCCCUGCCAAUCCAGGAGGCAUAUGGCAAGAUAUAACACUUGACUUUGUUGAAGGACUGCCUCCUUCCAACGGUUACACUGUGAUUCUUGUCGUGGUGGAUCGUCUAUCAAAGUACGGCCACUUCAUUCCACUUAAGCACCCUUACACAGCAGCUUUGGUAGCCGACAUUUUUAUUAAGGAAGUUUUCAAACUCCAUGGCAUGCCCAAGUCGAUCGUUUCGGAUCGUGACCCCAUCUUCAUGAGCAACUUUUGGCAAGAGUUCUUUCAUCUUCAGGGCAGCAAACUUUGCACUAGUUCGGCAUACAACCCACAAACAGAUGGCCAAACUGAAGUCCUUAACCGCACCUUGGAACAUUAUCUCCGUUGCUUCUCAGCGGAUAAACCCACCAAAUGGUUUUCUCUCAUUCCCUGGGCCGAAUGGUGAUAUAACACAAGCUUCCAAUCUGCAAUUAAAAUGUCUCCAUACCAGGCGGUUUAUGGCAUUGAACCACCAACCAUUCAGAUGUACAUGGCCGGUUCCACAGCUGUCCACUCGGUUGAUGAGGCAUUACAAGACAGAGACAAGUUACUACGUCUUUUGCGCACCAACCUGCAGCUAGCCCAACACAGAAUGAAACAAGUCUAUGAUCAUAAACGAACUGAGCGAGAGUUUAACGUCGGUGAUUGGGUCUAUCUGAAACUUCAACCAUACCGGCAACACUCGGUGGCUAAUCGCCCAUCUAACAAGCUAGCACCCAAGUUCUAUGGACCAUUUCAGAUUACAAAGCGUAUCGGCCGGGUUGCAUAUCAACUUCGAUUACCCCCCGACUCCAAACUCCACCCUGUUUUCCAUGUAUCCCUCCUCAAACCUCAAAUCGGCAAUGCUCAUUCUCCACUGGCAGAUUUACCUCCUAUUGAUUCCACAGGGGUAUUGCAUUGGCAACCAGAAAUGGUCUUGGAUCGGGGCAUCUUCAAGAAGAAAAACAGAGCAGUGACAAAGUGGCUAAUUAAAUGGGUUGGCAUACCCACCAACGAUGCCACUUGGGAGGAAGCGGACGAGAUCUUGGCCCGUUACCCAGAUUUCUUGGCCUGAGGACAGGCCUGCUCUUACGGGGGAGGAGUUGUUGAGCCCAACUACUGGAAGCCCGAGCCCAAUACUCUCUUACGGGGGCCGUACCUGAUCCAUCUUUUGGUCCAUAUAGAGCUAGGGUUACUUAUCUUCAAAAUAUAAACUAGAAAUUAGGCCUGCGCAUUGCCACAGGAACCAACUGUUUCAAGCGUAAUCGGAUGAAUAAAACACAUUUAAGUUGAAUAAAUUCAACACAAUUAUGAACAAAGAAAGGAAUAAAUGAGUGAAUAAGAUCAAUAAGAUAAGCAGUUUUGUUUUUAUACAUUCAAGUGAGCUGACACAUAAACACAUUGUACAAUGAGUAGGAAGAAAUUGAACAUUUUGAUUAGGAAGAGAUGGUUACCCAAAAAGUUCUGUUUCCUUAAGAAACAGAACAAACAUGUAGUUCACACAUCUAAUAUGUGUCCUGCAGUGUAGGCAACCAUUUCAACUGGUAAUUAAAAACAGAAAGUGUUGAUGACUUGUUUAAGUAGCUAAUUUUGUAACCACAACUGUUCAAACGCAAAAAUAAGCAGAAGGUCUGUUUCCAUACGAAACUGAAGAAACAGAAGCAAGCUGCAGUUCACACAUAUUUUGCCCCUGCAGUUAAGACGGCAAAAUAUAUGCCCUGCAGCCUACAUACCUCACUUAGCAAUUAGCAAAACACAGAAAAAGCGGUGCUUGAGCAGGUAAGUCGUCAAGCACAGAUGUUCAAACAAUAACUGUGUUCACUUAUCCAUAUUAUAUUUGAAUAUGAAUGAGGAUAAAUGGUUGAUACUCGUAACUGUGUUCACUUAUCCAUAAUAAAUUUUAAAAGGAUGAAACUUUUAAUUACCAAUAAACCAAUAAUGAAUACUGAUUAUUGAAAACAAAUAACGCAAAAAUACCAGUCAAUCUAUUAAAUAAAACCAACCCAUACUCUGACAACAAAAAAGGUAAAACUACAUAGGUUAAAGGUCAGUCCUUUGCAAAACCAACAAUUGCAUAUAGCAAAAAAUGAAAUAAAAACAAAAUCUAACAACCAAAAAAUAUGUCUGUAUGCAGUAGCAAUCAUGUAAGAGUUUAUUCAUCGGCUAAAAUUCGAAAUUUCAGAUUGACCAAUUACACCAUUUCUAUAAAAUUUCAGUUAUGGCAUUAGUAUUGAGCAAAAUUAAUAUGUUAGAACAGAAACAAUUUCUUACAUAUGUCAACAAUCCAUAAAAAGGGGUCCUUAUUCAACAAUAAAUAUUUUUUUUAUACCAAAAACAAAGCAAUGAAAUAAAUGUUUUACUUUGAAAUUUCAAAUAGACUUUAGUUCAGACAUUAACAAUUUCCAUGGAAUUUCUCUUGUGUUUACAUAGAGAGCAAAGCGAGAGAGCUCUCCAGAUUUUGAGCAAAAUCCCCCUAAACUACGAUUAGAUAGCUCAAGCUGGGAUACAUGUAAACAAAUUCAAAGCUCAAGACCUGAAACUGAGCUCAAAAACUGGAAAUCUCACUUCAAUUAAGCAGUUUUUCAGAUGUUUACAGCUUAAAUAUGCAUGAUAACAAAAAAGAAGCAUCCUUUCUUGACCAAUCAGACACUACCAGAAAAGCCCUAAUUCAUAUUAUUCAGAUUACAAAUACACAGGAGACCAAAUAGCUAAUAAAGCUAGACACUUUGACCCCAAUCCAACACAAAAAUUGUCGUGGUUAUACAUGCGAUACCUACCUAAAAUAUCAACAAUUCCAAAUUAAAUUGGAAAAUGAAAUGAAGCAACAUAGAUUGAAUACAAUUUGGGGAAAAUUAUCUCACCUGGAGCUCCGAAUUGGGCCGAAUCCAUUAGGUUUGGGGGGAGAGGAACACAGAGCUACUAUGAGAGAGAGAGAGAGAGAGAGAGAGAGAGCAUGCGUUGUCCUUUUCUUCUAUACAGCCACUGGACCGCAGUUCCUUCACAAAAAUUAUAUGCAUGUGUUAGUUUUUCAAGUUGUAGUCUUGCAAUCAAUUUAAUAAGCAUAAGUUCAAACAUUCAACGAAUAUAAAAUGAUAUAUAUACUAAAAAAAUGUUCCAUUUUUACAUGAACAACUAAGCAAAAGCAUUAUUACAACUAAGCAUUAUUACAACCAAGAAUCUAAGUUCAUAACCAACAACCAAUCAUCAAGAACAAACCCCAUCAAGCCCGAACCCAAAUACAAAUGCCACUAACAUAAUCACCCAAAAUUCACUACAGCAAACACAAAACCCACCCAAAAAUUAUCUUCAUAAAAAAUGCCACCAAAAACCUAUUAAGCCCGGUCAGUCGAUUAAGAACCUAUUUGAAUAAUUCAACUCAGCAGAUAGUCAGAUUGUUAGUUCAGGAGAAGAUUAUUGCCCAAUAAACAGGUAGAAUUAAAGUAUGAAUAUAUUCAGUUACUAUUACAGUAUCUUCAUUUGAGCAAAAUCCCCCUAAAUUUAGCAUCCACUGUUUUCAUUCAUUCAUAAAUUCAUUGCUAACAGCAAAAUAUAAUGAAAAAAUAAAAAAAAUAAGGUCAAAAAUGGACCAACAUGACCUCUUGCAUUCAAAAUUUUGAACCAAAAGUCAAAAAAUUGAUAUUUUGGAUUUCCAAUUUCAUAUCAUUUCAAGAAAAGAUCAAAAAACUAAAUUUUUAACAUUCCAAAAAACUGAAAAUCCAAUCUUUGGGAGAAAUCCAUGAGAGCAUGCACUUGUAUCAGUCAAAAUGUAUUCCUUACGUCAACAAAUUGGAUUAACCAAUGGAGCUAAUUAUUAUGUAAUUACACAUCUAGAGCUAUCAGCUAUGGCGAAUCUUUUAUCUUCAACCUUAAAUAUUACUCCCUUAAUUAGUGCUUCUUUUCAGAUCACAACAUUGGAUACGAUUAAUUAGGUGUUACAUCGAUGGUGAUUUGUGAGGACCACUAUGCUAAUAAAUUCUACAAUACAAUUUGAAGAUCUAAUUGCAACAACUCGAAACCCUAGCAAAACGAUCAAUCAAAUCAAGAAAGAGACCUCGAGCGAGGAUCAUUUUUCCUUGAAUAUGAAUCCGCAUCAUGUACUCAACUACGACAUAAAUCCCCAUAAAUCCAUUUUUGGAAAGUACUAAAACACCGAAAACAAAUAUAUGUGCGCGCACACACACACACACACACACACACACACACACAUAUAUAUAUAUAUAUAUAUAUCAAUAUGAAUAUGAGGCAUUGAAUGGUAAAUUGGAUGAGGAAGUCUAAAUAGACCGGUGGUGGCGAGUGGUGAGGAUGAGCUUCGUACCGACGCCAUGUUCUUGGGUUGCUUUCAGAACCUUAUCAGAUUCGAUUGGAUUCACAACCGCUGCUUUUUUGAUACUCUCGCCAAUAAUUCUAAUCACCAAUAACAUAGUUAUAUUUUCUCUGAGUCAUAUAGCAACACUCAUAGGGUAAUAGCAAAUGAACAUUGAUACAAAACUUGAAUUAGACAGGUAUAAUAUUAUUCUCCUUAAAAGAAUAACAAUUUGUACGAUCACACCUUUGACUUUGGUUGGGAGUGUGCUCUCUGUUACUUUCGCAUUGGAUUUUGCGGCCAAUUUCUGUGAAAAGUGAAAUAUAUUGCUUAAAGUGAUUACAUAUAUGUGGCUAUUAAAUUAAAACAAAAAGAGGUCGGGGGGUUUGUUAAUGGAUACCUCUCUUUUCUCGGCGCUUUCAUCACUUCUCAAGCUAGCAGAUGAUGGAGCGGCCUUAGCAGUAUGUUAGAUACCAUUAACCAAUCCCCAUGCUAAAAAUUUCUGUAAAAUGAAAUGCCUAAUUAGUACUAAAUAUCUCAUGUUAAGCAGAACAGAUGAAUCAUAUAAAUACAACAACCCAGAAUUAUGAUGUUAUACUCUUCAUCCACAUCAACUUAUUAUGAAAAAAUGCAUCUUAUUGCAAUGCACCAACAAAUACUCAAUCAACAUAACUGAAUCUACACAAUCAUAUAGUAUCAAUGCUUUCGUUCUCUACUAAUUAAUCAAUGCAACAUUUCAAAUUUCCUUUCCUCAUAUACGGUAAGUAUUCAAAGUCAUACCAUCCCAAUUCCACAUAAGAUAGUACACCUUCAGAGAGAUGCCAGCGGAUAGCCAAAAGCUGGGUUUCGUGUUACAGCAACGACACAUUCCACUGUUCAUGAAUCAUUGCAAAACAACACAAAGUUCUUAUGCCUACACUACAUUUACUAAAUCAAUUCAAAAUGGUCCUUACAGUAAAAAAAAAAAUUGCUCUAUAAGUAAUGCAUGGUGUCAACUAUAUCGAAUGUCAUUAUUAUGUGAGAAAAAAUAAAAACCCAGAAAUUAAAAGAAAUAACGCGGAAAUUCCAGAUCAAAGUGACAACUGAAGACGCCUAAAAAUACCAAUUUGGGAAAUCAUGACAGCAAGGAUCAACUGAGAACUCACUGAAAUCGAAUCCAAUGGUGAGAACGAAGGAAAUAUUAUACAAUAAAUACAGAAACAGAAUUUCCUACAACAAAUAAUAAGAUUCCAGAGUCGCACCAAUGGAAACGUAAAUCACCAUAUAUAAGUAGACAAAGUUUCUAGCAAUAUAUACAAAAACCUCUAAAAAAAUCUACCUAAACUCAAAAAGGAGCAAUUCCAUUUCCUUACAUGGUGCGACACACAGUGGGUUUCACAGCUAUUAAUCAAAAUACGCAACACGAAAGCCUGUUUGAGUUAGAACACUAUAACGUGAAAUCCACACACUGUGGGUUUCACCAAGGUCCACAUAUCCAAUCCAAACUACAUGGCUAAUAUUCAAUAACAUGUCCAAUCUUUAAGCCCAUUUACCAAACAGAUUUAGAACACUAUAGAAUCUACUUAGUAGCAGAAGCAAACACCAGGAAAUUAUGAAGAAGCACAUAAAUGAGCAUAGUGAAACCAAAAAAUUCGAAUGAUGGUUUUAACAAAGCAACAACAACAACAACAACAACAACAAAGCCUUUUCCCACUAAGUGGGGUCGGCUAUAUGAAUCCUAGAACGCCAUUGCGCUCGGUUUUGUGUCAUGUCCUCCGUUAGGUCCAAGUACUCUAAGCCUUUUCUUAGAGUGUCUUCCAAAGUUUUCCUAGGUCUUCCUCUACCCCUUCGGCCCUGUACCUCUGUCCCGUAGUCACAUCUUCGAACCGGAGCGUCAGUCGGCCUUCUUUGCACAUGUCCAAAUCACCGGAACCGAUUUUCUCUCAUCUUUCCUUCAAUUUCGGCUACUCCUACUUUACCUCGGAUAUCCUCAUUCUCAAUCUUAUCCUUUCUCGUGUGCCCACACAUCCCACGAAGCAUCCUCAUCUCCGCUACACCCAUUUUGUGUACGUGUUGAUGUUUACGGUCACACAACACGCCGGAUGCACUCUUACACUUCAUCCAUCCAGCUCGUAUUCUAUGGUUGAGAUCUCCAUCUAAUUCUCCGUUCUCUUGCAAGAUAGAUCCUAGGUAGCGAAAACGGUCGCUUUUUGUGAUCUUCGCUAGAUUGCUCCGGUCAUUAGUGUGGAUAAGUAUAUAAAUGGAUAGAGAUAGGAAAGCAAACACAAGAUGUACGUGGUUCACCCAGAUUGGCUACGUCCACGGAAUAGAAGAGUUCUCAUUAAUUGUGAAGGGUUUACACAAUUACAUAGGUUUAAGCUCUCCUUUAGUGAGUACAAGUGAAUGAUUUAGUACAACUGACAUUAGAGUACAAAUGACAUUAGGAAAUAUUGUGGGAGAAUGAUCUCGUAAUCACGAAACUUCUAAGUAUCGGAGUGUGGUAUCAUCUUGACUUGCCUUAUCUGUCUCAUAGGUAGAUGUGGCAGCUUCUCUGGAAGUACUCUUCCUCCAUCCAGGGGUGGUAUCUUUAACUGGUGGAGAUGCACAAGGUAAUGUAUCAAUUUCACUUGAAGCUUACUUGUAGUUUCAGGCUUGGUCAAGCGCGAUACAAACCAUGUAGUAGGAGUCCCCCAAGUCGCCGAGCUAGGGCAUCUGCUGAAAGAGGUGACAAACAAGGUAAGCAAUCAGAGCUCCGGCUGAUUUUUCACCUUCUCCCCAUCUUGCAGCAGCAUGAAGGAUAAAGAGAAGAAAAAUGAGAAGAGAUGAUAUGGGAUACUUUUGCUUUUGAAGAAGUAGCUUUCCACAGGCUUAUUCUUGAACUGAGCUGGAGGGUUUUCUGGUUUCCUCCAGAGUAUAAGGCCGACUGAAGAAUUUGAGGGUCAAAACAAGUCCAUCAAAUCUAGAGUACGUUCGACCCUGCUGAUAUGGGAUACUUUUGCUUUUGACAGAGUAAUGGAUGUAUAGGCACGUGUGCUGUUACGCUUGUCUCCACAUGCUUCCUUGUAUCCUUCGCACUUGCCCUAUCUGUUCCUCAAGCAGAUGCGGUAUCUUCCCUGGAAACAUAAGAUGUUGAAGAUGAGUACUCGAGAGCAAUGCCAGGUAAGUAAUCAGGUAAGGGGUUCCAGGCAGUCAGUUCCUGGUUGGGAGCUUGAUUUCAAGUGCUGACUGAUUGCUCUAUUUCUCCUUGUCUUGCAGGUAAAAACAAAGCUAAAGGAAAAGACAGGGAAAAAGCAUGAUAUGGGAUACUCUUGCUUUUAACCCUGAUGAUAUGAGAUAUUCUUGCUCUAGUAUAGCUUGUUUGCAGAGGUAUUAUCGGGGGGAAAGAAAGCUGAAUAUUUCGAAAGGCUUCGUUGGGAGUGCCCUCUCAGAUAUGAGGAAGGGUUAAGCAUUUUUGCAGGUCUGCCUGUCCGUUGGGGAUGGAGGUCGACAUAUAUAGGAGUCUCUCUAACAAGUAGUAAUGUUAUUCCUUUACCCUGCUUGGUCACAGCACGGUAGUGGGAGCUGCCAGCUUCACAUGUUUUAACUCUGUCAGAGCACUUUGAAAAAGUGGCAUUAGGUAUCUGGCUCUCGAGAUUCGGAGAACGAUGCUUCUUCGAUUUUUGAGAAAGCAAUCAUGCUGGGGGUCUGGCUCUCGAGAUUCGGGGAGCAGUGUCUCUUCGAUUUUUGAGAAAGUAAUCAUGUUGGGAGUCUGGCUCUCGAGAUUCGGAGGACGGUGCCUCUUCGAUUUUGGAGUAAGCAAUCUUGUUGGGAGUGUUUUCUCGGAUGUGAGUAAAGGUUGGGCAUGUUUGCUACUCUACCUUGCCACGAAGCACAGAGGUUGACACACAGGGACUUUCCAAUUAUCCAGCAGUGGUACUGUUCCUUUACCCUUGUGGGUAAUAAUAUGGUAGCUAGACCUUCAAAAUUUAUGUGUCUAAACUUUGUUAGUGCUGUUUCUUUUACCUUUCUUGGUCAGAGCGAUGUAGUGGGAGCUGCAAGCUUCACGUGCUCAACUUUGGCAGAGACUUUGGCAAAGUUAUCUGUGGUACCCAUGAGCUAUUGUUGCGUGUGGGAAGUGGGUGAUUGAACAGUAAGAUUCAUGUGCUUUCGACUUCACCAGAAGUCUUCGACAGAAUGCCCAUAAUUUCCGCAAAGCUGAGUGUGCGUGUGACACGUGCUGACAAGGCUAGAAAAGUAGGUACCUCUUCGAUUUCUGAGAUCGGCCCUCGUGAUCUCUGAGCAGCCCAACUUUUGAGAAAGCGAGCGCCUCUUCGAUUGAUUCGGAGAACGAUGCCUCUUCGAUUUUUGAGAAAGCAAUCAUGCUGGGGGUCUGGCUCUCGAGAUUCGGGGAGCAGUGUCUCUUCGAUUUUUGAGAAAGUAAUCAUGUUGGGAGUCUGGCUCUCGAGAUUCGGAGGGCGGUGCCUCUUCGAUUUUGGAGCAAGCAAUCUUGUUGGAAGUGUUUUCUCGAAUGUGAGUAAAGGUUGGGCAUGUUUGCUAGUCUACCUUGCCACGAAGCACAGAGGUUGACACACAGGGACUUUCCAAUUAUCCAGCAAUGGUACUGUUCAUUUACCCUCUCUUCGAUUUUUGAUAAAGUAGUCAUGUUGGGAGUCUGGCUCUCGAGAUUCGGAGGACGGUGCCUCUUCGAUUUUGGAGCAAGCAAUCUUAUUGGGAGUGUUUUCUCGAAAUGUGAGUAAAGGUUGGGCAUGUUUGCUAGUCUACCUUGCCACAAGGCACAAAGGUUGACACACAGGGACUUUCCAAUUAUCUAGCAGUGGUACUGUUCCUUUACCCUUGUUGUGGGUAAUAAUAUGGUAGCUAGACCUUCAAAAUUUAUGGGUCUAAACUUUGUUAGUGCUGUUUCUUUGCUAUACUUUUACCCUUCUUGGUCAGAGCGAUGUAGUGGGAGCUGCAAGCUUCACGUGCUCAACUUUGGCAGAGAACUUUGGCAAAGUUAUCUGUGGUACCCAUGAGCUAUUGUUGCGUGUGGGAAGUGGGUGAUUGGACAGUAAGAUUCAUGUGUUUUCUACUUCCCCAGAAGUCUUCGACAGAAUACCCAUAAUUUCCGCAAAGCUGAGUGUGCGUGUGACAGGUGCUGACAAGGCUGGAAAAGUAGGUGCCUCUUCGAUUUCUGAGAUCGGCCCUCGUGGUCUCUGAGGAACCCAGCUUUUGAGAAAGCGAGCGCCUCUUCGAUUUCUGAGAUCGGCUUUCAUGGUCUUUGAGCAGCCCAAAUUUUGAGAAAGCAAACACCUCUUCGAUUUAUGAGAUUACCCUCGUGGUCUCUAAGCAGCCCAGCUUUUGAGAAAGCAAACGCCUUUUCGAUUUCUGAGCAGGCGCCUCUUCGAUGUCUGAAGCUCCGUCGAGUGCAGCUUUUUAUAGGGGCUGGCAUUAAGUUCCAAAGCACACUUGAAUCUCCACCAGUAGAAGCUCCAUUCUUGCACUUCUAAGAUCUUGAUUUGUCCGACUUCUUCUCUCUUCAACACCUUUGAAAAUGUCUGGCCCCUCCGACUGUCGUUUUGACUUGAACCUUGUUGAAGAGGCAGCCCCGCCUUCUCCAGACAACAUAUGGCGCCCAUCCUUCGUCUCCCCUACUGGUCCUCUUACCAUUGGGGAUUCCGUGAUGAAGAAUGAUAUGACCACUGCGGUGGUGGCCAGGAACCUUCUCACUCCCAAAGAUAACAGGCUACUUUCCAAACGGUCUGAUGAGUUAGCUGUUAAGGAUUCGCUGGCUCUCAGUGUUCAGUGUGCAGGUUCUGUGUCUAAUAUGGCCCAACGCCUAUUUGCUCGAACCCGCCAAGUUGAAUCAUUGGCGGCUGAAGUGAUGAGUCUCAAACAGGAGAUUAGAGGGCUCAAGCAUGAGAAUAAACAGUUGCACCGGCUCGCACAUGACUAUGCUACAAACAUGAAGAGGAAGCUUGACCAGAUGAAGGAAACUGAUGGUCAGGUUUUACUUGAUCAUCAGAGAUUUGUGGGUUUGUUCCAAAGGCAUUUAUUGCCUUCGUCUUCUGGGGCUGUACCGCGUAAUGAAGCUCCAAAUGAUCAACCUCUGAUGCCUCCUCCUUCUAGGGUUCUGUCCAGUACUGAGGCUCCGAAUGAUCCCCCUUCGGUGCCUUCUCUUUCUGGGGCUCUACCGACUGCUGAGACUUCUCCUAAGCAACCUUUGUGAAGGCUCCUCUUGUUUGUUUAUUUUGACUCAUGUAUAUGUACAUAUUUGAAGCUUAUCGGGGAUAUCAAUAAAUAAGCUUUCCUUCAUUUCAACGUAUUGUGUUAAAUACACCAAAGCCUUCUUCGCUAAGUUCUUUGAAUUUUCUUUUGUUGAAGCUUGUAUGUUGAAGCUUUCUGAGUGGAGCAUGUAGGUUGGGGUAGUGUUCCCUUAAUUUUCCCUGAGUGAGGAAAACUUCUCGGUUGGAGACUUGGAAAAUCCAAGUCACUGAGUGGGAUCGGCUAUAUGAAUCUUAGAACGCCAUUGUGCUCGGUCCUGUGUCAUGUCCUUCGUUAGAUCCAAGUACUCUAAGUCUUUUUCUUAGAGUCUCUUCCAAAGUUUUCCUAGGUCUUCUUCCUCUACCCCUUCGGCCCUGAACCUUUGUCCCAUAGUCGCAUCUUCUAAUCGGAGCGUCAGUAGGCCUUCUUUGCACAUGUCCAAACCACCAUAACCGAUUUUCUCUCAUCUUUCCUUCAAUUUUGGCUACUCCUACUUUACCCCGGAUAUCCUCAUUCCUAAUCUUAUCCUUUCUCGUGUGCCCACACAUCCAACGAAGCAUCCUCAUCUCCGCUACACCCAUUUUGUGUACGUGUUGAUGCUUCACCGCCCAACAUUCUGUGCCAUACAGCAUCGCCGGCCUUAUUGCCGUCCUAUAAAAUUUUCCCUUGAGCUUCAGUGGCAUACGACGGUCACACAACACACCAGAUGCACUCUUCCACUUCAUCCAUCUAGCUUGUAUUCUAUGGUUGAGAUCUCCAUCUAAUUCUCCGUUCUUUUGCAAGAUAGAUCCUAGGUAACGAAAACGGUCGCUCUUUGGUAUUUCUUGAUCUCCGAUCCUCACCCCUAACUCGUUUUGGCCUCCAUUUGCACUGAACUUGCACUCCAUAUAUUCUGUCUUUGAUCGGCUUAGGCGAAGACCUUUAGAUUCCAACACUUCUCUCCAAAGGUUAAGCUUUGCAUUUACCCCUUCCUGAGUUUUAUCUAUCAACACUAUAUCGUCUGCGAAAAGCAUACACCAAGGAAUAUCAUCUUGAAUAUGUCCUGUUAACUCAUCCAUUACCAACGCAAAAAGGUAAGGACUUAAGGAUGAGCCUUGAUGUAAUCCUACAGUUAUGGGAAAGCUUUCGGUUUGUCCUUCAUGAGUUCUUACGGCAGUCUUUGCUCCUUCAUACAUAUCCUUUAUAGCUUGGAUAUAUGCUACUCGUACUCCUUUCUUCUCUAAAAUCCUCCAAAGAAUGUCUCUUGGGACCCUAUCAUACGCUUUUUCCAAAUCUAUAAAGACCAUGUGUAAAUCCUUUUUCCCAUCUCUAUAUCUUUCCAUCAAUCUUCGUAAGAGAUAGAUUGCCUCCAUGGUUGAGCGCCCUGGCAUGAACCCGAAUUGGUUGUCCGAAACCCGUGUCUCUUGCCUCAAUCUAUGCUCAAUGACUCUCUCCCAGAGCUUCAUUGUAUGACUCAUUAACUUAAUACCCCUAUAGUUCAUGCAAUUUUGUACGUCGCCCUUAUUCUUGUAGAUAGGCACCAAAGUGCUCGUUCGCCACUCAUUUGGCAUCUUCUUCGUUUUCAAAAUCCUAUUGAAAAGGUCAGUGAGCCAUGUUAUACCUGUCUCUCCCAAAACUUUCCACACUUCGAUUGGUAUAUCGUCUGGGCCUAUUGCUUUUCUAUGCUUCAUCUUCUUCAAAGCUACAACCACUUCUUCCUUCCGGAUUCGACGAUAAAAAGAGUAGUUUCUACACUCUUCUGAGUUACUCAACUCCCCUAAAGAAGCACUCCUUUCAUGUCCUUUAUUGAAAAGAUUAUGAAAAUAACCUCUCCAUCUGUCUUUAACCGCGUUCUCUGUAGCAAGAACCUUUCCAUCCUCAUCCUUGAUGCACCUCACUUGGUUUAGGUCCCUUGUCUUCUUUUCCCUUGCUCUAGCUAGUUUAUAGAUAUCCAACUCUCCUUCUUUGGUAUCUAGUCGUUUAUACAUAUCGUCGUAAGCCGCUAACUUAGCUUCUCUGACAACUUUCUUCGCCUCUUGCUUCGCUUUUCUAUACCUUUCAUCAUUUUCAUCGGUCCUCUCCUUGUAUAAGGCUUUACAACAUUCCUUCUUAGCCUUCACCUUUGUUUGUACCUCCUCAUUCCACCACCAAGAUUCCUUUUGGUGUGGGGCAAAGCCCUUGGACUCUCCUAAUACCUCUUUUGCUACAUUUCGGAUACAACUAGCCAUGGAAUCCCACAUUUGGCUAGCUUCCCCCUCUCUAUCCCACACACAUUGGGUGAUUACCUUCUCUUUGAAAAUGGCUUGUUUUUCUUCUUUUAGAUUCCACCAUCUAGUCCUUGGGCACUUCCAAGUCUUGUUCUUUUGUCUCACUCUUUUGAUAUGUACAUCCAUCACCAACAAGCGAUGUUGAUUAGCCACGCUCUCUCCUGGUAUAACUUUGCAAUCCUUACAAGUUAUACGAUCCCCUUUCCUCAUUAGAAGAAAAUCUAUUUGUGUUUUUGACGACCCACUCUUGUAGGUGAUCACAUGUUCUUCUCUCUUCUUAAAGAAGGUGUUGGCUAAGAAGAGAUCAUAUGCCAUUGCAAAAUCCAAGAUAGCUUCCCCAUCCUCGUUUCUCUCCCCAAAACCAUGGCCACCAUGAAAACCUCCAUAGUUGCCUGUCUCCCUGCCCACGUGUCCAUUUAAAUCUCCUCCUAUAAAUAACUUCUCCGUCUGAGCAAUUCCUUGCACCAAGUCUCCAAGGUCUUCCCAAAAUUUCUCCUUCGACCUCGUAUCCAACCCUACUUGAGGUGCGUACGCACUAAUCACAUUGAUAAGUUCUUGUCCUAUUACAAUCUUGAUUGCCAUGAUUCUAUCUCCUACCCUCUUGACAUCUACAACAUCUUGCGUCAAGGUCUUAUCCACGAUGAUGCCAACACCGUUUCUCGUUCUAUUUGUGCCCGAAUACCAAAGUUUAAACCCUGAGUUUUCUAGAUCCUUUGCCUUACUACCAACCCACUUAGUUUCUUGUAGGCACAUAAUAUUUAUCCUUCUCCUCACCAUAACUUCCACUACUUCCAUAGAUUUUCCCGUUAAGGUUCCUAUAUUCCACGUUCCUAAACGCAUUUUGCUCUCUUGAACUCUACCCUUCUGUCCUAGCUUCUUCACCCUCCCCCGUCUAAUAGGAUCAAAGUACUUCUUGUGUGUGUCCCGUGUAAAGUUGAUAGGAGCAUAUGCUCCCAAACAACUUUGAGUGGAGUCGUUCGAAAAGAAGUUUCUACGGCCCCCUUGCUCAUUUAACACUGCAUCCGGGUGCCGAUGGAGAUACAGCGACCCUUGCUCACUUAUCACUGUGCUCGGGCCACACAGCGCGCCACUUACGGGUGACGCCCUAGCUUUAGCGCGAUUUUGUUCUAGAUUCAUUUUCAUAAGGAUUCGACGUGAUCAUGGAGUGCCGGCUGUCGACUACCUGACGCCCUCCCCCUCCUCCUUUAUCCGGGCUUGGGACCGGCCAUGUAAAAUUACAUAGGCGGAGUUGGUUUUAACAAAGCAAACGGAAAACAAAACAAUAAACAAUGAUUUUCAAACAGUGCAUAACCUGUUGAAUUAGAGGAAAAAACUGAAAACCCAUACCCUUCCAUACAUCCCUCUGUCAUUCUGUCCUCACUGACCCCGUGCACUAACCCAUUAAUUAACCCCAAAAAAUGCACACAACCAUGCUUUCUCCUCUCCCUCUCUCUAUCUCUAUCUCCCUGUCCACAUCUCUUUCAAAAAUGAUAAAUCCCCCAAAACCGGAUCUAACAUACUAAACAAUUCGAAAAUCUAAGCUACCAUUAAAGAAUAUAAUUUAAAAAACAAACUUGUCUUUGGAUUUGAGGCAUGCAUCGCAAGAUCCGGCACACCCCACUCUCAGUAAGGUUUGUUCAUGACCCCUACCCUGUCUCCCUGAAAUCCUGACGACCCAUACGGUCUUCUCUGACCAUACCCACUCUCCCACUUGUGAAAUCCAUCUGCAGCAACAGUGUCGAGACCUCUCUCUCUCUCUCGCAAACCCUCCAUCCCCGAAACCCUAGUUGAACGACAGCAAAUGAUACCUACCCGGUUACCCCCCAUCUCGCCCAAAACCGAUAGGACAAAAUUGCCCUUCCUAACUUUUACAUUAUAGAACAACGCAGCAAAAACUCAAGCAAGAAAAUGAACACAUACCAGUGAUUAUUUCCUCAUAGGUUAUUCCCAAUGUAAUAUGUUAGAUUGGAUAAUUUCCAGAAAUAAAAUAAACAUUCCGAAAGGUUCAGCUAAGUUUCUUGUUUCUCCAAAGAAAGUUACCUGUAAAUGAAGAACAUCUGCUAAUAGCAACCUCUUCAAGUGAGGGAAGGUAAGCAGUUGGGAUGGCGUUUGCCCGAAGUAUGCAAUCUGGUCCUGUGUUGCACGCUGUUGUACCUGAUUUUGGCACAGAGGAAAAAAGAAUGUACUGAAAAAAAUUAUCAAACAAUAAUGGAAAAAAUCAUACAGAUGCCAACAGAAACUACACUUACUGGGUCUGAGAUCUUAUCAAUAUCCACUGUCCCUUCAUAGGUAAUGUAAAAGAAAAAAUUAUUUGCCAUUAUAGCUUCUUUGCCACGCUGCUUAUACCUGUAUAUUCCAAUUUAUUAAUGAAUAUAACAGUUUCAAAAAUGAAACAUUCAAAGUUGAUAUAGUCUAGAGUUGUGAUGAACUUAUAAAAGAAAAAGUUAAAAAACAAAAUGAAAUGAAAGAAAAAGAGGUAGAUACAAACCAAAAAUAAACUAAAAUUAAAAAUCUCCAAAGUCCAAAGAAACCUACCCGAAUAUGAGAUCAAUCCAUUCAUGCAAAUGCGUAGAUGCAUGCUCACUUUCAAGAGCCCAAGUUGUUGAAAUACCAGCCACAACAAUCUUACCAUCAACCUCGUCCUGCAAGGAAAUGAAGUUAAACUUAAAACAGAUCAUUCUAGGAACACAUGUAACCUAAAAAUGUUAUGCAUUAAACUUGUGCUUCCAAGCAUAUAUUAUAGAUGACUUGUCCUGGAUGUUCUUCUUAUAUUAAAGAAACCAUCAUUAUUGUUGCGUACACCUUAAGCUGUGAUAGUAGCAUAUAUACAGCCCGAUAAGCAGGGUCUUCUGUGCUUUCCACGAUAAACAUAUACUCUAAGGGACCACCAUAGAGAGAAGUGACCUGUUUUCGUUAAUUAAACAAAAUAGUGCAGACCAUAUUGGAAGAAAACCUUGGAUACAAAUUCAACCUAUUAAAUCAGUUAGCAGGAGGAUUUUGAACACUUCACCAGAUAAGACAUCCCUACAGUGCAAAUACAGAAAUUUAGACAUGCCCACCAAAAGAAAAUAUAGCUUAACUAUGUUAAUCUAAUAUCACAAAGAUAUUGAGUUUCUGAGUCUCAGACCCAAUAGAGUGUAAUUUAAACUUCUUAUGAAGAAAAACCUAAUUUUCAACUCGAAAAUAAUACAAAAACAUGAUUGGCUUUGACCACUCUCAUUCCAAAUGUUCUAGCGUAGCCCCUGACUCAAGGGCUCACCAAAUGGGUUUUCGAUUUCUGAAUGAAAUUAGAAGCCUAAGUAAUGUUUGAUGGCAUAUUGAAUCAUCAAGAGCAGGAUUCAUAUGUCCCCUUCCUUGCACAGAACCUAAAUAUGAUCGAAAAAGAAUAAUGAAAACCUAAACGAAUUACAGAGGAACUGAUGGGUUUAUGCAUCAGCAAGAGGAAGAAAAAAACGACAUACCUUCCUGACGCCACCUCAACCCCUCGUGUUGUCCCCAUCACCUCGAUCUAAUCGAAUCAUAAAGGCUCGGCCCGACCCGACCGAAACGAAGCACAGCCUCUCUCGCCUCUUGAAAUCUGAAAUCCCCACCCCAAAAAACCACGCAUGGGCCUUCCUGACACAAAAGGUGGAGUAAGACGACACAGGCGAGAGAAGGGAGACGGCGGCGAGAGGAGGAUAGGACGGAGGCGAGACCGUCUGCGUCGUUCUCGCGGGGUCUGCAAGACGGAAGAGGCAAGGAGGGUUUGAAAAGGAAAUGGAAAAGGGCGGUUUUACCAUUGUUCUUCCCUUCCCCCGAUCAUCAACACAUGUACAUCAAGAUUAGCAGCAGAGAGAGGCUGGUAGAUUUGUAAAUAAGUUGAAAACACUGUUCAUUUCUACAGUGCCAUUUCCAUGCCUUCUUUAGACUAAAGUAAUAUGUAAUAUUGUGGACUGAGAGGAGGAAUGAAUGACUGAAUGAAACUUUCUACUUUUUCCCUUAUUCUUCUUUCCUUAUCUCCUUCAAUUUCUGCACUGUUUUCUAUUGAAGCUAACAUCUCAAGACACCCGAGCCCAUUAGUCGUAUCAUAACCAAACAAUCAAAACCCAAAAUAAAAAAAAUUCAUACAACAACAAUGCUUUCACAGAAAAAUCUCUAAAAAAAAACCCCACAAACCCCCUAAAAAAAAUCAAUCUGACUACCUCGCCCCUCUCCCUCCCAUCAGUCCCCUCCAAAUCCAUCGCAAUCGUGCACAGCUCAAUGCCAACACACCUGGCAAUCCAAAUACCCUUUGUAGUUUGGCUCCUAAAACAAAUCCACAAAAUCAGAUAGUCCUCUCUCCCAAAAAGCACUUAUUCCAAAAGCAAAAAAAAAAAAAAAACCAAAAUUGACUACACAAUCAAUUCCAAACUCAGAAACUAACCUUCCACCGUAAGCAUCCAUCUCCCUAAACUUAGUCCAAAACAAAUGAUUUAACAAAGUGCUUUUCCCUGCCAAAUCAAAAGACAUAAGCACCAAAACCAAAUUCACCAAAAACCUCAAAACUCAAACCAAAUUGAACAAAGUUUCAAAUUUUUACCGCUGCUCUGCGGACCCAUGAUUACAACAACCGCAUAGGAGAGUCCGCACUCGGUAAGCUUCACCUCCUUCACAAACCUGUCGAGCCCAUCUGCGUUAAAUUCUCGAUCGCCAUAGAUAAGUAAAUUCAAGAAAACAUCAAAACCCCAGAAAAAAAAAACAAAAUCUUUCAGAAAAAUCAAAGAAAUUCACUCCGGUAAUCAAUCAAUUAAGUACCUAAUUCCCUUGGAUGUCUUGAAUAAAUAUAACACUUCAAGAUAAAUUAACUACCCAAUAUUAAUUUUUCCUGUUUCUUUCUUCUUAUUCUCGGGAAAGAAUCAAACCCAAAAACAAUUAAUCGAAGAAAACAUACAGAAAAUAUUGGGGAGGAGUAACAUACAAUCUGUCGAGUUCUUCUUCGCUUUGCAGAUAAGAGAUGGUGGCUUCUCAUCGAGUUCAUGUAUGUAUUGCCCAGAGUGAGAUGAUGAGCGGGCGUGAGAGAAUAGGGCAGUGAGAGAGAGUCGGGAGAGAAAAAGAGGGAAAGAAAUGGGGAUGGAAACGGAUGGAAAUCUAGUGCCCGGAGUGAGAUGGAGAGCGAGACGAAGACAGAGAGAAGGAAAAGCUUGCGAGAGACAUGGAAGAGUGCCGAGGAGAGGAAGAUUAUGGUUUCAGUAGAUGAGAGAGGAAGUGAGAGAGAGAGGUGAAGAUGCAGUAAUUCCCUUCACAAAAUCAAACCCCCAUCCCUCAAUCACCGACAGCAGCCUUGAUUUGAGGAGGAAAAAUCAACCCUAAACCCUUUUUUGGUAGCUUCAGUGCCUCACUCCUCUCUCUCCCUUCCCCUCCCUCUCUCUGCAACCCAUGCUUUUUUGGCAGCAUCACUCCACGUAACCCAUCCCAAUCCGUCCCAAACCCUACGGGUCUUCUCUGACCAUACCGACUCUCCCACUUGUGAAAGCCAUCUGCAGCAACAGUGCCGAGACCUACCCAUCCCCCUCGCUCUCCUUCCAUCGCCAUCUCUCUCUCUCUCGCAGACCCUCCAUCCCCAAAACCCUAAUCAAACGGGUCACCCCCCAUCUCUCCCAAAAUCGAGAGGAUAAAAUUGCCCUUCCCAAUACACCAUCCCCACCAUCGGAUUGUAAUCUUAGAUGGGCAAAACUGUAAUUAAAUGAUUUGGGCCUGACUGAGGGCCAGGCUUCUCAGCUAAAACCAACUCAUUUGGGCCGGGCCUAGUACCGGGCUGCCGACCCAAAACCAACUCAAAGAGCAAUGACAUGGUUGUAAAUAAUCUGAAAUUCGGAUUGCAAUACUAUUCAUUUCUACAGUGCCAAUUGAGAACCUUUCUUUAGACUAAAGUAACUUGUCAAAUUAAAAAGCUAUGGUUCAACAAUCUGAACUUCACUUAUACCGAACAUUUUGGAAUAAUACUUACCUUCUAAUGCAGGGAAGAGAGAGAAUAAUCCAUACAAAGUCCUACUUAUUUCCAACUCCAACGCUAACCCUUCUGCAUCACCGUUGUAAAAAAAAACGUAUUAUAGUUUGAUCAAAUACUGCUAUGCAGUACUAUAGCUAUAUGAAACAGAGAUUUUUAUCACUUCUAAUUUGCAAAACUUUUGCUUACAUUCAGUUAGAAAAAGCUUAUUAUAUCAUACACAGAAUAUUGCAGAAGUUGUCAAAUAAUUACCAUCUAAACAUUGAGAAUAACCCACAUCCACAUCGCACAAAAUUUUAUAGAAAAGGGGACAAAGAGAUGAGUGACCAAACCAAUAUGAUGCAAUCGAAUCCCCUUGUAGGCUGCUGAGAGAUAAAUAAAUGGCGUUGCCAGAAAGAUUAAAUGCAUUCUUCAAAGUAUAUAGUGGUUGUUUGGGUGGAAGACGGUUCGAAUGGACUAAUUUUCAAUCAAACGGAUUUAUAAAUGAAAGAACAGAGUUCAGAUAACGAAAUGCAACAUGGUAAAAUUCAAGAUCACGAUUCAGAGGAUUUGAACAAUAUUGUGUUGAAAACUCACCAAAGAGUGACGGUUCCAGGGCAGUAAUGGUUAGGGUUCUUGACUCCUCCAGUUGUGAGUGCAGAUUUUAUUGCAGCCUAUACAAAAUUAAAACAAUUAGCAACUUAGAUCCAAUAAUCUGAUUGUUUCUAGGGAAAAUUCGCUUGCAAUUAUUAAAUCUAAUUUUAUAGACAUUAGAAACCCAAACGAAACGCACCUUGGUGGCAAGUACCUUCCCUUUCUACAAUUAUUUUCCUAGAAAAAAAAAUCACAUGCAUAUUUAUACACAUAAAAGGUUGCAAUGAAAAAUACGAAGAAAUGAUCUGCUGACGAAACAAAAAAAAUUAAAUACUUCACUUAAAAGGAAAGUUAACUCCAGCGACAGAAUGAAAAUCUAUAUCUUCAACAUGAAAAUCAAUGGAAAAAUUAAAUACCUCACAAUAUAUGCAAUAUUUCAAUGAAUUAGAGACUUAAGACCUAUUAAAGUUGCUAUUCUUCAAAACACAGCAGCAUAAUCAUUCAAGUUGAUGCAUAUUUCAAUCAAAUUGAUGUAUAUUUCAAUCGAGCCUCAUUAAAAAUAGAAAAUACAGCAGCACAAAGCAUAACAAAAGCUUGGAAAUGGAAAAGGAACCUGCAAUUAGGUUUCUUUGAGAAGAAAAAAUGGCAGAACAGAGCCCAGAAUCACAAAGACAGAGACAGAGUGGAGUGAGUCGGAGGAUACAGCAAGACUGGACCUUUCUACCAGAGAAAACAAUAGACUGCCGAUGAACUAAACCACCUAAAAAAAUCUAUGACAACUUUAAAGAAGGAAAAAAAUAUCUAUGACAAUUUGAAGAAAGCAUAUGGAAAAUAAAUCCGUUAGCAAUUUAGAGAAAUUGGUGGACCAAAUCAUAUUAAAUUUAAGUUAAAUGAGCAAAGGUACACCAAUUAAAUGAGGUACACCAUAAAUAUUCAGACUUUUCUACCUUUUAGCUCUCUAAUUUACUUUCAAUAUACACGAACAAAGUUGAGGAUUCACUUUAUGAUAGCCAUCCAACCGAAAUCACACAAAAUCAACAAAUCAUUGACAAAAACACUCAUGGAGUUCUAAUUAAAUAUGGAAUUAUUGGAUCAUUUGCUUCUGUAUGUGGAAUGUGUUGAAAAACGCCCACACUAGACCUUGUUCUUUGAUGUAACCAACGGCAAUAGACUAAACUAGCAAAUAUAGAAAAUACUUAGAAACACACAAGAAUUAUACUGGUUCGGCAGAACUUAUGCCUACGUCCAGUUGUGAUUUCUCUUGGUAGAGAAAUCACCGCUCCUUUGAUUAAUAAUAGAGAUUACAAAACUUUUGCAAACCCUAGAACUAAUCUCUCUCUCUUGUCUUGGCUGUCACAGUUUUUCUCUCUUACAAUUUAAGACUUGCCGCACCCUAUUUAUAGGCAUAGGGUGCAAUUUACAUGUCCUUUACAGAUUAUAAUUCCUAUUCUAAGUGGAAUAGGAAAUUAGACUUCCUUUCCAAUUCCAAAUAGACUUCUAGGAUUUCUAAUCUAAAUUGAAUAAGGAAACUAAGAUUCUUUCCUAGCCCUUUUAGGAGAAGAAUUGGUGCACCCUUUUUUCCCUAAAACAAUCCUAAACAGAAAAGGACAUUAAUUGACGAGCCAAAACCUAACAAUCUCCACCUUGGUGAGUCAAACCAAGUCUUGAUCGUUUGCACCCCAGAGUAUCUUUGAACCUUUUUGAAGUAGCUCUGGAAAUCUUCAAGAGUCUUCACCUUGGCAAUCUUCUUCUUGCCUUGUUGCACCUCAAGUGAGAAGGUGUUCCACUUUAAUCAAUCAACGAGAUUGAUCAAGUUCAAGCAAUGCUUGAACUUCUUGGCCGGCACUAUCUUUGUAAGGAAAUCUGCGGCAUUGUCAUCCGUAUAAACCUUUUCAAUCCAAAUUUCCUUAGACUCCACCCAAUCUCUGAUUUUGUGAUACCUUGCUUCAAUGUGCUUUGAUCUUCCAGAAAAAACCUGAUUCUUUGCCAAGUGAAUGGCACUUUGACUAUCACACUUCAGCUUCACACAAUCUUGAGUGAUUCCCAUUUGACUUACCAAUCCACUAAGCCAAAUCGCUUCCUUUCCAGCUUCGGCAAAAGCAAUAUACUCUGCCUCUGUGGUCGACAAAGCUGUAAUUGGUUGCAGUAGUGCCCUCCAACUGAUUGGUCCUCCUGCGCAUGUAAACACAUAACCAGAAGUUGACCUUCUCUUGUCCAAGUCCCCUGCAUAAUCUGCAUCCACGUAUCCUAACACCCCUGCAUUUUCCUUUUGCUUCUCAAACAUAAUCCUUUGUCGCCAAUAACCCUUCAAAUAACGCAAAAUCCACUUGACUGCAUCCCAAUGUUGCUUUCCUGGAUUUGCCAUGUAUCUGGAAACGACACUGAUUGCUUGAGCUAUGUCGGGACGUGUGCAUACCAUUGCAUACAUGAGGCAGCCCACUGCAUUAGCAUAAGGCACAUUCUUCAUUACUUGUUGCUCUUCCUCGGACGUAGGACACUGUUGCCCACUUAACCUGAAGUGAGCUGCCAAAGGAGUCGAAACUACCUUUGCUUCUUGCAUGUUGAACUUCUCAAGAACCUUCUAAAUAUACUUGGCUUGUGAUAUCCAGAUCCUUCCAGCGGUCAUAUCUCUCUGAAUUUCCAUGCCAAGGAUCUUCUGUGCAGCACCUAGAUCCUUCAUGUCGAACUCCUCGCUCAACAUCUUUUUCAAGUCUUGAAUUCUAGACUUGUAUUGACAAGCAAUUAGCAUGUCAUCCACAUAUAGCAAUAGCAAUAUGAUCAUCCCAUCUUGGAACACAUGAUAGUACACACAACAGUCAUAUAAACAUCUUCUAAAAUUGAAUAAGGAAACUAAGAUUCUUUCCUAGCCCUUUUAGGAGAAGAAUUGGUGCACCCUUUUUUCCCUAAAACAAUCCUAAACAGAAAAAGACAUUAAUUGACGAGCCAAAACCUAACAGAAUGAAUUCCUUUUAUUUUAUUUUGAGAUAUAUAUAAAGUUUCAACAUAUCCAAUUCCAAUUAGCACAUAUCCAAAUUCCAAUUCAAUAAACCACACAUCCAAAUCAAUUCAAACUAAAUACUUAAUAUUCAAUCACAUAUCCAAUUCAAACUACAUGGCUAACAUUCAAUAACAUGUCCAAUCUUUAAGCACAUUUGCCAUAAAAAAGUUGCAUCCUUUUCACUGUAUUUUUUCAGACUUUAAUCACAUGAAUUUAAGCAACAAAAGAAGGAACCACAGGAAAGAGAAAAGUACCUUAAGACAUUCAAGGGUCGGAAAACUGGUUGAUUUGGACAGCCGGAAUCUGAGCUGAAAUGGAGGUCGGGUGGUCAGUUGUGGAGGUGUCUGGGUGUGUGCGUGCGUGUUGAGUAGAACUGCUUUUGUGCUUUAUGGCUGGUGGAUAUAGCAGACGAAAAAGAGAAAUAAAGGGAGGAAACAUUGUAUUACCUGUUCAAGCAAGGGAGGAAACACUUUGCAGCAACUUUAAAAGCAUGCUUGUUCAAAGGCAUAAGCUAUAAUAAAAAUCAAACAGAAAAAUUCAAUCUAUUUCUAACAACAGCAACCAUAAUUUCCUACUAAAAAUAACAUAUAUCAACAGAUUUGUUAGGAAACAAUUCACAACUAUGCUCAAUUCAUUCAAAAGUAGGAAAAAAUGGGGCACUUAAGCCACUAAUUGUAACAGCAGAAAGAAAAUUGAGCUACUAAUUUGAAAUGACAUGUUUGAUUCAAUGAAUAAGUAGAAAAAACAAUAGGAUUUUUAGCUGCCUCAUAUAAUCUUUUAUGCAAAGCCUUAAAAUGUUAUGCUCAAUUCAGUCGAAAGUUGGAAAAAAUGGGGUUUUUGCAAUGAAAUUGUCAUGUUUUGAUUCAAUAGUUUAGACCACAUGGACAAAAUUGAAAUUGCAUGCUUCAUUCAUUCAAAAGUAGGAAAAAAGCCAGAUUUUUAGUUGCUUUACAUAAAUAUUUUAUAGGAGGUGUUAAAAUGACAUGCUUAAUUCAUUUAAAAGUUGGGAAUUGGGAUUUUUUCAGUGAAAUUGUCAUGUUUUGGUUAAAUGUUUUAGGCAAAAUGGACAAAGAAGAAAGAAAACACACCAUUUGGUUAAAAGUAUUUUUUUUCCUUUUGAUUUUGGCCAAAACAAACGGUUCUGUCUAAACAAAGUGUUAAUGAUCUUCUUCCCCUGGUUUGGUACUUUGCAAAAUAGCACAAUGGUGCAACACCACUGCUCAAGCAUGAUUUCCGAAUGGGUAAUGCACAGCAGACUAGAAUUACAAAGAAAUUUUAACCUAACAUCAAAUUUACCCAAAUUCCAAUCAUUCCUCUGAUUUGUUCCAAAAAAUUACAAACACACUCUAAUCUAACACUUAUCAACGGGUUCCUAGACGUACAAAAAAACGAUGACAAAAACUCACCCAGAAAUUAAGCUACCAAUCUCUCAAGUACGUACUUGAUAAAAGUGAAGCAUAUACAAAUGUAAAAUAUGAAUGAAAUAUGCAACAAUUGUAUAAAAACAUGCAUAAAUGAUAAACCAAUAUUACAAACAUGUUAAAUAAACAGAAGGUAUAUAAUAAUAAAGAAGAAGAAGGAGAACGAAGUACUAAAAAUAGCAAGGAAAUUGUUUUUGGCGGAAGGAGAUUUACCCAAAAAAUAAGAGGACCGCCAGAGACUGCCAAAUUUGCGACUAAUCAACGAAGGAACCAAAAUGAAAAAUAUCCUCUCAGUGAGGAAAACCUAGCACAGGAUCAGAGCCAACCCAAAACAAAAUGGUUACAAUUUCAUCCAAAUCAAGCAAAACUCAAAAGAAAAACCAAACACAGCACAUACCACCGUUGAUCGCAACCCCAGAAAUUGUGCGAAGCAAUUUUACCACGGAGGACAAAACACCCAAAACCCUAGGUUUAUACAAAUGGAAAACCUAUUUCGGCAGAGAAGCUAUAACACUGAAAGACCAACACAACAGGAAGAAAAAGAGAAAUGAAGAGGAAGUGAUAUUAUCAGACAGUGAAGAAAGCAGCACAAAAUAUCUGUUUUGUUGUCCCAAUUUAAUAAUUUAAAAUCAAAUCUUGCACUCCUGACUAAAAGUUGAAGAACCGAACCAGAAUCAAACAGAAAAGAAAGCAGGAAAAAACAUGUUUCUAAGCAAGUUCAAACCAGAAACAGUGAAAUAAGGGAAAAUUCGGUUCAAAAGGGUCACUUAGCUUUGAAAGGAAUUCAAGCUGCCAGCUGGAACCAAAUCUCUGAAACCAACCCUAGGUUUAGGCGUCCCUUCUUGCCUCACCCCUACCUAUUGCUUUGUUCAUCCUACCCCUCCCUCUCUCCUCCAAUUUUUCCUUCUAGAAGUCCUCAUCUCUCUUCUCUCUGGCAUCGCACGACCCACCUCUCGUCUCUCUGCUAUCGGACGACUCAUCUCUCUCUUCUCUCUAGCAUCGCACCACACCUCCCCUCUCUUCUCACUGGCUUCAUUGCAGGCUAGGCCUGCCCGUGUCGGCCAUCCAUCUGAACAACCCAACCACAAACAAAACCCACCAACCCAGUCACACAGCCCAAACCCACAAAAGCCCAGGUGAAAUCCUUAGAGCAAUGACAUUAUUGUAAUUAAACUAACACUAUUCAUUUCUACUAGGGGUGGGCAAACGGGUAUAGGAACCGCGGGUCGGGGCGGGUAAUCACGGUUCGGGGCGGGUACGGGCCAGUUCCUAAUAUUUUAGAGAACAAAUGGGGCGGGGCGGGGCGGGCCCUUUUCAUUUACGGGGCGGGCCGAGUCCAGAUGCUUAGAAAAACGGGUACCCAGACCGGCCCGUUUCUAAUUAUAAUGAACGGCCGAGAUUGAAUGAUAACCUAUCAUCCCAUCUCAACCGUUGGUUUCUACCCUAGUUUCUACUCAAUUCAACUUUCCAGAAUUCACUAUGUCUCAGCUGCCUCUCUAUCUCCCACAAUCUCUCUCUCCCCGAACCUGUUUCUUCUUCUUCUUCUUCUUUAAGUUUUUAAUCCCAGCUAGGUUUUGCUAAUUUUCUCUGCAUUUUCGCUCAGAAGACUGUACCUGUGAGAGCGUCAUCUUCUCAACGUCGAGGAGGUAAAGGCUUUCGUCGAAGAUCGAUUGAGAGAGCUCCUGAGAGUUGAUUGAGUUUGCUUGAUGGGAUUUAAUUUUUCAGUUUUUUUUUUAAUCACCCGAAGUUAGAGAGAUAGGUUUUUGGGAAUUUGGCUGCUUUUUUGUGAGUUAUUUCCUGUGUGUGUUAAUAUUUGUGGAAAAAUGAUAGUGAAAUCUGGGAAAGGUGGCAAAUUUGGAGAUGAUGAGAUUGGAAUCUGAUUGUGGUGAAGGUAGAGAAAAAUGGGGUUUUUGUAAUUUGAUUGGGGAAUUUAGUUGCUUCAGAUUUGUCUGCCAUUUGAAAAAUUGGGUAUUGAAUAUUAAAAUGGUGUGUUUUGUUUUGUUCUCUUCCAUUAGGUAGUCGGAGAGCAGAUAGGGAUGCAGUCCGAGACGGAGCAGGUGCCACCAGAGUCGGAAAGAAUGGAGGCGUUGAUUGCGAGGAUGUAGGCCAUGGUGAGAAACGUGGUGUUGCCGAUGCGGGCCUCGGUGGUGAAAGUGGAGCUGCGCUCGAUGGAGAAGCUGUGGUGCGAUGACGAAGGCAGCAUGUCGGUGGUUCUGGAGUCCUUUCCGUAGCGGUUUCGUAAAAAAAAAAAAAAAAACCAAGGACUCGUGGACCCGGCCCAGACCUGCCCGUUUCAAACGGGCUGGGUUCAGUUUGAUUCCUGUAAUGAAAUAUGAUGUACCCGGCUUGGCUCGGCCCGUUUCUUUUAACCUUCAAUUCCUUCAAAAUUAGGCCUGGCCCGGCCCGUGCCCAGCCCUAAUUUCUACCGUGCCAUUUCCAUGCUUUCUUUAGACUAAAGUAAUUAGACACAUUAUUUUAUUAAAAACCCAGCCUAGUGAAAAUAGAGAAAAGCCCUACUCCCUAACCGCCGAGUCAUGAUGACUUUGGAUUUAGAGCCGUCCACGUGAAGCAACUUGAGGUUCAACCAUAAAAAUUAAAAGAAAACUAACGAAAAGUCCAAAAAAACUUCUCUUGUAAUGAAAAGCCCUUUUUAAAUGUAUAAUGAAUAGUGUCAGUUAAAGGUAAAAAUGUGGUUUUUCGUUAAAAGUGAACAGUACCGGGAGUGUUUUGUUAAAACUCUCUUUUAAAAUUAAUUGACAAUAUAUGGAAUAGCCUAAUUACUUAUAAGCACAUGUAAUGUCUCUUCUUUUCUCAAUGUGAGACUCAUAUACUAUCAACACCACAAACCUCACCUACCUCUCUUCUUUUUCCUCUGGUUCUUUCUUCUUAGCAUAUUUUCCAAGUUUUCAUUAGGCCUGGCUGCGAUAGCGGCAUUGUAGUUUUAGUUUGUGGUUGUAGCGGUGAUCUAUCUCGAUGGCGAAGUCUACCCUGGGAUCGACAGUGGUGACAGCUGCACAUGGCAAUAAGCAAGUACUGUUCCUGGUAUUAGGACUAGGGCCUUCAUUUUGAUGGGCUGAUUUGUUUCGCCCAUAGUUUUACUUUAGGUAUGGUUAGAUAUGUCGUGUUGCAAUUCUUUUGAUUUUUUUUCUUUGUGAAACAAUAGAUUUUGUUAAAUUAAACGUUAAAUUAGCUUCCGACGGAGUUCGAACCCACGCCGUCAUGCAAGGGCUCAACUCAUUUUCAUUACUGUGGUAAAAGGGCACUUGCCAAUUGUUUUGAAGAACCUAUUAUGUUUUCAAGUUACAUAAUUUGAGCGUAUGUGAAAAAUGUUUAUAAAUAUUGUUAUUCGUGAUGAAAAAAUGUCAAAUCACGUGUUUUAGUAAUGAAACAGAUUCAGAAAGAAAUUUCUUAUGAGGUUUCAAUCUCCAAUGUCCAACGUAAAUUAAUAACUUUGUCAAUGACUUAUGUUUAGGGAGCGGAGGACAACUUGUAUGACGCAGGUUCACCAUGGCGUAAGAGUUGUUCUCUUCUCCUUCACCGUCAUUUUGGGCUUCUAAUUUCACAUGCAUCAUGUUUACCUAGUUCAGAUAUAAUAAAGACGAAUUCCCAUAGCUUAUACAGUAAUGGUGCUGCUUUGAUAUAUACUAUUAAAACUUAGUUGUGGAAUCAGAAGUUUGGAGUCAUGAAUUAUAUUUGACUCAAAUCCUCUCCAAAUCACUGGAAAAAAAAAUUAGACGUUAGUUGAAAAACCUCGACGGUACGAGAAAUUUAUUGAGAUGAAAAAAAGAAGUUACACCUAAUCAAGGAGGGACAUAAACCUUAUUCUUCAUAAAGCAAAAAUAACAAAAUACAAGAAAAGAGGGAGGGAUAUACACCUUACCCCUCUUGAACAAGAAAAUACAAGAAAAAGAGAAGGGGAGACAUAGACUUUACCCCUAUUAAAAAAUAAAAUACAAUAAAAAGAGAGGGGCGAACAUAGGACCAAACCCCUCUAAAAUAAAACUUAAAAGGUAAGAACCUGCAAGACAAGCUGCAAAACAAAAAAGAAAAAUCCAAAAGGAUUAGGUAAAAAAGAAAUUUGGUUGAGCCGGUUUAAGCAUUUUCCAACAUAUCAAUAAAAAAAAAGAUCUAACAUUUCAACCGUUUUUAUAUUUCAAAAAAUCUACACUUCUCCCACGUUUCAAUUCUAUCAAAUAAAAACUAACGAAAAGUCCAAAAAAACUUCAUUUUUUAUGAAAAGUCAUGCUUAAAAGUAUAGUGAAUAGUGUCAGGUAAAGGUAAAAAUUUGGUUUUUCGUUAAAAGUGAACAGUUAUUAAAACUCCCAUCUAUCAAAAAAAUAAAUUUAUCGGAACACAAAAAUUUCUUCGAGUAAACCAACUUACAUAUGGUUCGAUCGGUUUAAUGCGCACCCCUAUUUUUUUUUUCCAUGCCCCGGAAAAGGUACGGUCUUAUAGUGCACCGGUUCCUCUUCCUUUGCCACAACAUGCAGAUGCGACCUACUGAUGAUCUUUUCUGCUACAUCUGCAAUGACCAAUGAACUUUCAUUAUUAACUAGUUACCAACUUACCAAUCAUAUAUAGAUGCUAAUCAAACAACGAUUUAUUGUAUGAGAGAGAGAGAGAGAGAGAGAGAGAGAGAGAGAGAGAGAGAGAGAGAGUACUGUGCUUUGGUUUUUCAGAAACAUUGGCAAAGACUAAUUUGGAUGAGAACAAUAGCAAUAGGAUGAUGGAAAUCAUGUAAACAAAGUUGGCCUUGUGAACCAUAUUGUAUGAUCAGCUCGAGAUACAAGUUUGGCUCCGUUCCCAUAUAACUACUUACAUUAUAUAUAAUGCGAUGUCUAAACGUCUUUUACAUAUUUUUUUGUACCAGUUAUUGACCUAGAAUUGGCCAAGUCAAGGGUUUUAUCCCGUGUCAUUUUAUGAGUUUUCCAUGCUCAACUUUAUAAUUUGUUAAAUUUUUAUAUUUCUUUCAAUUUUUUUUUGCUAGCAAUUUUGGAAUUAAUUUUUGUAUAAUCUUUGCUUCUUUUUUUUUUUUACGAACAUUUUGAUGUAAAAAAUUGUUUAUAUUUUUGAGUUUUUUUAUGAAUAGGUGAAAAAUGAACGGAUAGUUAUAGAGUUUUGGAGAAGUUUUGGUGUUGAAUCUAAUUUGGAUCAAUUAGUAAUAUUACUUUGAUUGUUAGAUUUAAAUUUGAGCCGUUGGAUCUUUUUUAUUACCGUUCAAAUUGAUUAAAUUGGAUUGAGUCGUUUGAUUAAAAAAAGAUGCAGCUAGGUGCGCAUCAUUGGAUCAUAAUCCACGAUGUGCGAUAACCAAUGAAUGACAACAACUCGCGCAUCUCAGCCAUAGAAACUGGGCUUGCUAUGAGCCCGCCCGCACUGAAUAUUUCUAUUAUUUUCUUCUGACCAGCGGGCCCGUCACUCCCCCUUCAUGCGCUCUGCAACUUGUUGUCCCCCUCGGCCCACUUGCAUUUCUUAUCCUUUCGGCGUGGAUGCAAGAUCCAAAUAUACAUUCAAACCCAAAUUCCUAUUUUUCCCACCUCCUAAAUACAUGCUUUGGAGAUAAUUUCGACCACAAACUUAGGUUUUAUCCAUAAACGUCCCACUCAAAUUUAUGUGCAAACAACUUGCACUUGCACCACAUAAUUUCGGGAUGCACGGUAGUUGGCUGCUGAAAAAUUAGCAGUUCUUGCUGCUAGCUAAUCAUAGAUGAACAUGUGUUUAAUCUGUGAUUAAAAAAUUAAUUAUGGUCCUUCGAGAUAACAAAACAGUCACAUAAAUAGGGAAACAAGUUGGUGUUACCAAGACUAGUCGAACGAAGACGUGUGAUUUGGAUUUUUUUACAUAUCAAGCACACACCAUUCAUUUUUUGCUGAUAGCUUGAAGGUGGCGUACGCCGUAGGUAACACCUACCAAUUGCAACUUGGAAGUGAGCAACCAGUGGUAAGGAUGUUUUGGUCUGUGGUGGUGAUAUUUGGUAAUUGGUGCUGCCAGCCGACGAGUUCUGUCCAUUUUGUGGGCACAGCUGGAGAUGCCCAAAUGUGGAAUUUUAGUCUUCAGUUCACCAUCAAAAUAAACAACACCAUAAAUUUCAAGAUUGAUAUUUAAUGAUGACAUACAUUUUGAUUCAAAUGCAAAUGCAAAUGCAAAUGCGACCACACACAUAACAGUUACAUUAUUCCGGAUGAAAUGUUUUCGAUGACGUUUACAUAUAAUCAAGCUCUAGUUGAACACUCUUCGGAUUCGAAAAUCAUCUAAACUUGGCUAAUUAGUUUUUUCUGAACAGAACAAAGCAAAGAUGAUACGCAAACGGUCCAAGAAUUACAGUCUUAUGCUUCUAAAUUAUUAAUCACGGUACGAGAGAAAUUUAUUGAGAUGAAAAAAAGAAGUUACACCUAAUCAAGGAGGGACAUAAACCUUAUUCUUCAUAAAGCAAAAAUAACAAAAUACAAGAAAAGAGGGAGGGAUAUACACCUUACCCCUCUUGAACAAGAAAAUACAAGAAAAAGAGAAGGGGGAGA
This 80749-nucleotide long non-coding RNA is filed under the name Malus domestica (apple). RNAcentral describes it as "long non-coding RNA (MDOM_LNC009551)". Lineage: Eukaryota; Viridiplantae; Streptophyta; Magnoliopsida; Rosales; Rosaceae. The record is from RNAcentral.